GAGCAACUACUUUUGUUUGAGCAUGUAAAAUGUGAAUCAGAGAUUUCAUGUCAAGACCUUGUGUAGCUUCUCUUUCCCAGCAUCAAUAACACGAAUAACUCCAUUUAUUCCACCAGCCACUAAGAAUGGACUUCCAUCAAUAUUGCAGGCCCAACUUACAGUGUAAAAGGAUUCAUCUUUCUGAUUUACACAGCACAUGGAAAAAACAAAAGUUUUUUAAGUAUAUGAAAUAACAUAUGUACAGAACAGAUGGAACAACUGUGUGCUUGCAACUUCUUACAUCUUCAUCAAUAUAAGACUGCAGCACAGCAAUGACACCACCUUCGAGACACUGAUAUACAGUCACCUGACGAACAGCCAGAAAAUAAAGACUAGUCAGGAUAUCGACAAUUGGCAUACAGUAAAAGCAUAUCCUGACUUCCUGAGGCUAGUACUAUUCUUCUGUUGUUGUUAUCUUCUUUCAGUUCGGUAUUCUGAAACAACUCUCAGAUGACAUAUCUAGACCAAUAAAAGACACAUCACUUAACAAGAGCAUGCACUUCUCCAAAUCCUAAAUUUACUUUUACAUCAUCCAUAACUCUCAACUUAGAUUAGAAAUACAACAAGAUAUAUAAUAGCAUAACUCCACACUGCUAAGAGAUUAUACAAGAUUACAAUCCAUACCCAAUUCUGAGAAUCAUAACCUUUGCCAUGAACAAUUUAUAAUAGUAAGGUGAACCAUUAGGUAAUUAUUAUCAAAUCUGUUGAAUAUGUGGCACUCUGCAUGUGUGGAGAAACAUACAAAAACUGUCGAUCAUUACACCAUACAACAUAAGUUUGUACAAAGCUGGCUCAUCCAUCCUAAGUCAUAACUACAUAAAGACAUUUCAGUUUGUGACGCAUCAAUGAAUCUACCAAGAUAAGCAUAAGAGCAAUUGUAGGAAACAAAAAGGGUCCUUGAACCAUCAAUCAACAUUAAAGCAACUUGCAAGUCCAAUUUUAGCACAAUUUCAUCUGAAACAAGCAGCAGCUCAACUAAUAUUAACCCCGAGGCAUUUAAAAAAAUAAGACAGACCAAGAUGGAAAGAAAAACAAAAGAUUGAUACUUCUUACCUAAAUUGUACAAAUUUUGAACUUCCAUACUAAUACAUGAACCCAAAAAUAACAACAACAAGAAGACCAACUCUUCAACAUUAACCCGUUUCAUUUCAGAACUCAAGACAAAUGAAUGAAAAAAUUGAACUUCCAUACCAAUAAAUGAAGCCAAUAAUCACACACACAAAAAAAAAGAGCAACCCAUCAGUCUCAAACAAUUGGGACAGUUACACCCAUACCCGUCAUCCCGUUUCAUUCUAGAACUCAAGACAAAUCCUAAAAGAACGAAAAUUUCGAACUUUCAUAGUAAUACAUGAAGCCAACAACCACAAUAACAACAAUAAGAGCAACCCACCAACCUCAAACAAUUAGGUCGUUCAUACACGUACCCGUUUACCCGUUUCAUUCCAGAGCUCAAAUUACUAAAAGAAAAGUAUUAUAUUCCACAAAUUCGAAUCAGCACAACAAACAAAAUACAAUUUUGACAAACCCCAAAUGAAAAAACUCACACGAUUUCCGCCCACAGUAGCAAAGACAUUGAAGUAGCGCGAAUCAAUGAAAUUGAAGACGACGCCAUAUAAUGGGCGUUUGCCUUCUUGGAGUCUGUUCGUCACUCUAUACUCCUUUUUCCUUGACGGUGUUAAUGAUCCAACAACUGGCUCACAUCCUAGAGGUACUCUGGCCGCCAUUGCUAUCACUCCGCCAGAGCUUAGAGAGGAACGAAAAACUCUACAUAUUUACAGUGUCCCUAAAAUAUUUGUUAAAAAAAAAAAGACGCAAGUGACAUUUUUUUUUAAGAUUAAUUUUAUACGUGAGAUGAAAUUAGCGUUUUAGAUAUGAUCUAAAUUUUCAAAUUAAUAUGAUUUUCAGAAUUUUAAAUUAUAAUUUAAACGUUUUAAAUAGAAAAAUCGACCUGAAUAUAUAUUUUAUUUUUAAAAACCUUAAUAAAAAUAUUUUACCAUCAUUGUAUUAAGUGCACAAGACAUAUCAUUGUGAGUUUGUGACAUUAAUUAAUUGAAAAAAACAAUUUCUUUUACUAACACCUUGAACAGUAUUAAGGUUCGAUCAAUUAAUACGGUAUGUUUUAAGAAUAAUAUUAUGAUACGGUAUAUGUGAUUUAUUAAAUUUUUAUUUAUUUGAUAAGAUUGUAAAAAAAUAUAGAAUAAUUUUAUAAUUUAUGAUUUUUUUAUAUUCAUGAUAAAAUGUUCAAACGACAUAUCCAAAUAAAAUUUGAACUUUAUCUUAUGAUGAUUUUGUGUCAUAUGACCAAACAAGAUUCUAAACAAAAGUAUAUCAAGUACAUCAGGAAAAUAAAUAUGAUUCUAAAGUAAAAUUAUCUUUAAUUAGAGUAAAGUGAUAUUCUUCAACGAUGAAAAUAGUGUCACAUGAAAUGAACAAAACAAGUGUUGUAUUCUAUCUAUAUUAAAAUACUGUCAUAUUUUAUUUUUCGAGAGUAAUUUAAUCAAUAUUAAUUUUAAAUGAAAAUAGGCGAAGAAGUAUAGUUGGUUAGGAGGUAUGGAGAGUUACUUUUACUUUUUGAGGGUGUAGGCUCGUAGAUGUUUGUUAUUGUACUAGCGACAUUUCUUUCUUAUUGACUUUGCAGUUUCUUCUUCGUUAGUUAUUAUGUUUUCUUCUUCUUUAUACUUGAAUUGAUUGCUCUUGAGAUGUGAGUAUUCAAAAAUAAUUUCUUUACCUUCGCGAGAUGGUGAAAAAAUUUGCAUAUAUUUUAUCCUCUCAGAUUCUACUUGUGAAAUAUCACUACAUAUGUUGUUAUUGUUGUUUACCAUAUGUCAAGAUUACACAAGAAAUAAUACAAGUCGUACUUUUUCUCAAUAUCAAAAAUUAAACAUGACAAAUAUUUCGAAACGCAAUGUAUUUCAGGUAGAUAUUUAGCUCAAUCUAGAUAUUCACUUUUAUCAAAUAGUGUAUAUUGACAAAAGUAAAUACUACACUAUAUAAGACCUUAUCAACUUUGUUGGAGAAUUUAAAACAAUGGCUUCUUCUUCAAAUAUUCUUCAACUUCACCAUCUCCAUCUUCUUCCUUCAAUUCAUCCAAUUUCUUGCGUAAAGCAAUUCACUAUCAAAUGCACUUCACCUGAAUCUUCUUCAGACCCAGAAUUUCUAACCCCAAAUUCAGAAACAACAAUUAGCCCAGAAAAAUUCCCAAUUGAAAAACGUCGAAAAUCCGAGAUAAUCCGUGAGAGAAAAUCAAGAACUGAGCUUAUAAAGCAAGACCCACCAAAUUUCGAAAUUGGGUGGAAGAGAACAAAGCCAAUUCCAUUAGAUAAGCCAAUUGGGUAUGUGAUAAUGGAUUUUUUGGAGAAAUUGGAAGAGUUAAUGGCUAGGGAUUUUGGGUCGACGGCGUUGUUAGCGAAAGUUGGAGAAAUAGUUGCAGAAAGAGCUAGGGAAGAAGCGGAAGUGUUGAAAGACGAAGGAAAAGUGGAGGAGAGAAUGGUGACGGAAUUGUACAGAGUUUUGAAGCUUAUGGAAAUGGAUUUAGCUAUGGUGAGUGCUGCUGUUAAAGAAGAAACAUUGAAUAAAAGACUUGAACAAGCUAAAGCACGUUGUAGGCAAGCCAUUCUUGUUGCUAAUUCUUUUUGACAAAUUUGUAGCAUCUUUGUUUCACUUGUACUGUAUUUAAGUCUGUAUUUCAUUAUCGACGAGCACGACCCAGAAAGCAAAAAUCCUUGCUUUUGCUGGCUAGGGUUAAAUAUUGACACCUCCAAUAUGAAAGUCCCGAGUCCAAACCACGAGGUCACCUCGAAAGGAUUGUAGAUUUCAUUUUUGGCCAAAAGCUGAAAUUUUUCCUAUUGUAUUACAAAAAAUCAUCAAUAAUCGUUACAUCUUUACUAUCAAGGAGUACAAUUGAAAUAUACUUUCUGAAUAUAGUAAAUAAAAAUUGUUCAAAGAGGCAACAUCUUUGAGCAAUAAAGAAAAGGAUUAUCAAUUUCUCUUCAUUGUUGUUCUCCCUGAUAGAUUAUUCGAACACCACGAAGCAUUUUCUGUAUGCGUAAAGCUUGUUAAACAUCUCUACGCUGCAGUCCGUCACUUUCUAUGCCAUACAGAAUAUAUGUUUCUCUUUCAAGAUCAGAAGGAACACCAACCUUUUUUAAGGCAUGAUACCAGAAGUCGAAAGAAGUGUCGUCUCUUGAUCAACUUCCAACUUGCUGUUAGUCUCAGGGCAACUUUAAAGCACGAACGAGUUCUCAACACUAAAAGUUGUACAUCUACAUGAACUGCAAAAUGUUGAUCUCAUACAACUGCUGCACCCAAAAGAAAAGGGAUGAAGAAGAGUGAGCACAAAGAGGAAGGGGAAAAAAAAAACGUAGCAGGAACAGAGACCGGCAUGUUCAGAACUAACACAUACCGAAGAAUUUUCUAAAUCCCCUACGAAUUCCACUUUUCACAUCUUAUAUGUCACAAUCUUCCCAGUCUUGUUUUCUUUCUUUUUCCCUUUUGCGGAGGCAGACGUUCCAUAAGCUGUUUGACAAGCUUUGACUACAUUGCAAACAUGAAAAUCAUCCCUUGGUAUAUUAUUGAGAAUAUUUGCUGCAGAUUUGUAGUCCCCUAAUGCCAACAAGGCUCGAUACAUCCUGCAUCAAACAAUGAUUUUGAGCAAAGAAGGAAAACAUAAAAGGACACAAAUCACAUUUGUGACAUCACAAGUAUCCCAAACCUAAUGAGGUUAAAAUACGACUAGUUUGAAGUGUAGUUGCUUCAUAUUUAUUGUGUUCUCAAUAGCAUGUUGAUCCGAAUAGUCACAUAACACCAUGUUACUUUGCAAUUGAGCGAAAAGAUUGCAGAUUUUUAGCAGUGCUUUUUCCUUUAAUUAAAAGGAGACUGAGAACUCCAACAGUGUUCUGCUUGGAAAAGAUUGGAGAAAAGAAAACUGAUAUAUAACUUGAAAAGAAAAGGAAAGGGAUGAUUUGACUGUUGGCACACACGUCAUAGGAGAACAAGAUAUCUCAACAAGAACCUUUUAGCAUGCAACAAGAAGACCUACCCACCAUCACACAAGUGAAAACUACAUAAAACUCCCAAUGUCUCUCAUAGGUCUAGAACCUUAGACGAUGGAACACAGAAGAGAGAGGAGGACAUCAAGCAGUUGAGAAGCAUUGUUAGUUUGAUGACUUUAUUUUUCUCUCUUUUUUUUCAACUUCGACUUUAUUAGAUUGUUAGAUAUCAUUGACCUAGUUUUAUAUGACAAAUGUUUCUUUUUCAUUUCACUCAAAACCAAGAAGGAUACAAACCAACAAAUAAAUGGAAAUGCAUUUGUCUAGCUUAAUCAAAUCUCAGUGUUGAAUGAUUAAUCAAGUGAGUUCUCAACAGAUGCACUUGUAGAGAAAUCAAAACAAAAUGAUAUGAGUAGCUAUCAUGAAUUUCCUAGGAACAGUGCUUUCAAGCAAUCAAACAAGACUAAAAAACACUAGUUAUUUGAAGUUACCUCACAUAACUUAAAAUAUUGUAAGGAAGACCAGCUAUUCUGUACUCCUUCCAAAUCAGAUAACAAGCUUGUAAAUCUUUGGCAUUGACACAAGCACUGAGGAGGAAAUCAAGACUUUGUCGUGAAGGGAGGAGACCAAUAUCUUUUUUAAUAGCCUGAAGGAGAUCCAAGCCUAACUGUAAAUUUAUUGGGUCUUGUUCCGCAAUCUGGUAGAAAACCUGUUCCGUGAUUACCAAAUGAAUACCAAGCAAUAAAACACAUCAGAGCUAAAUAAAGGCCUCAUUAUUAAUGAAUACAAUUUUGUCAAGUAAAAGUAUCAUAUGCAUUGGGGAGCUUUAUCUAGCACACAAGAACUGAUGCGAGAGUAUAUAAAUCACAGAACCCAAAAAGAACCGAGUUUCUACGAAAUAUAAUUAUGUGUUCCAAUACAGAGCAGAGAAAAGGAAGAAGUGCAAAACCUCAUCGAAUAGAACUUCCUUAGCCACUUCAUCAGACUUGUAUACAUCUACCAGCCUUUUAAGCAAGUCGACAAUAGAUCUAUUACAAAAGAGGGGGAAAUUAAAGCAACUCCAAAUUUCAGCAAUAUUCUCAAGAAACAAUUAUGAUUUUAGACCUGAAAUGAUUUUUCCGAAUACAAUAUGUUAUGACCCUAUAGGAGGCAUCCACCCAUUGAUCGAGGCCAUUUAAUUGCUCAAGUAGGUUGAGCAAUCUAUGCAAAUCUCCUUCAGCUUGAAGAUUUUCCUGCAAGAUUUUAAUUUAAAAGGGUAACUGUGUCAGAAUAUUGAAGGUGUCAAGGAAAAGAUCCUGGGAAAGAGCACAUAUGCCAAAAAAACACUUACAAUAAGACAGGUGACCGCUUUUGGCUCCAACUUGCAUUGAGCUUCUUCCAUUUCCUUAUAUAUAUCAAGGGCAUCUGAUAUUUUCCCAUGUGAAGCAAGAGCUGAAAUAAGCACACUUCUAAUUUCAUUGAAACCCUUUGCAGAUACUCCUUGAUCACAGAUUACCUGCACAUCCAUUGAUGCUUCUAAAUAAUCAGAACAACUCAUAUUUUUUUUUGGCAAGAUCAUGCCCCUAACAAUGAGAGAAGUAAAAGAAUAUAUUAUCGCAUAGAUGUUCUACACAGCGGUUAUCAGUUUUAGAGCAGUUCAAUUUUUUUCUCCAAGGAGUAUAUUUCACAUGAAAGCUUCCGAUUUGACAACAUAAAAAACACCACGUUAGAAUUUACACUAUAUGUAGCAUAGCUUCAAAGAAGCUUAUAAAUUUAUCUCUUAAAAUACAAGUACGCACCCACCAAUCAUAUGGCAGAAGAAACUUCAAGAAAAUUAAAUAAAUACAGUGAAGUAGACAAUUGAAAUCAGGGGGAAACCAGCUAUUAAGAAUUUAUGGAUCUAACAAAGGAUUUAGCAUGAAAAAAAGGAAAAAAUAUGUCCAUAAAAGAUUUAUAGAACACUCGUUGUGUACCUGUUUAGCCUUUUCAAACUGUCCAGAAGCUGCAUAUCCAUUUAUUAGGGCCAUAUAUACAUGCUUUGUGAGUUGAACUCCAGAAUCUUUCAUCUCAUCGAGAAACUACAAAUUUUCAAAUUACCAACUAUGAUAGUUCCACAUUUGUAGCCAAUGUCAACAAGAUAAGCAUCUAUCUACUAACAUGAAAAGAAAAGGCAGAUAUUUCAUAAACAAAGAAAAACAAAGAGCAAAAGAGUCUAUGCCCGAAUAAAUCAGAUAAAGGAAGCAGAUUCAUGGAACCAGUUACCACUGAGAAACAUUUUAUGAAAAUUUUGUGAAGAUUGCUUUAAGAGAAUUACAUUCACAUAAAGGACAAUCUUUACAUUAAAUGGAAAGACUAGCACCAUGCUGAUGGAUGUAUUGAUGGAACACAGUUAAACUUUGUACGCUAAUUAUACAUCAUUCAAUAAGAUUUCCUCUCUUUUGAUAUGAGGGUUAAGUAGAAUUUCUUAUGCCUUCACUAGUUAAUUUGCAAUACACGGUUUCUAUCCCACUCUAUGAACCGGUUAUGAACUUCUUGUUUUAGCCACAAUUUUCUUCCAAAGCAGUAUCUACAUAAAAUAUGAAGGUUUUCAACUUCUUUUAUAUGGUUAACUCCAAUCCCCAAACUCUCAUAGGAAUGGGGAUUUGCAGGAUGCUAGCCUGACUUUUGAUAGUGUAUGAGCUGAACUAGUCUUGUAAUCUUAAUAAGCUCAAUAUGAGCUAGAUUUCGUUCUUAUAAUCUUAAUACGCUCAAUAUAAGCUAGCUUUCCUUCUAUAAUCAAAGCACAUUAUAUCUCCAUUUUAACUUUUACUAAACAAUUACUGAACCACCAUCUCAUAAAAACGAGAAUUAUGAAAGAGAAAUAAUCUAGAAAAGCUGACAAAUGAAAAUAAUGCAUCCACUUACACAAUAAAACUUAGUUACACCAGAGAAAUGAGAAAAGCAAGAAUAAUCUACAGUCAUAUUCCCAAAAAGACAAUUUUGCCAAGUCACAACAAAUGUUCUUUAUCAAGAUCACAAAACAGAUAUGUAAAACCAAGGACCUUAGAUAUGUCAUCCUCAUUCGUGCAGUUGCUUAUCAGAUAGCUGAAAGUCUGAGAGUCUGACUUCACAUUAGCAUCUUCCAUUCGUUUGAGAACCCCUAAUGCAGCACGAGUGUCUUUCUGCCAGAUGUUCAGCAAAAAAAAGGUCAAAAGUCAAAAAAAAAACAGAAGUAAUCAGCACCAUCCAACCAUUAUUACAUCCAUAGAUAGGGAAAUACAAGCAACAAAUUCUAAAAUAGAAGUAACAAAAACCAUCAAGCAACAACUAUGGUUUGCAGGAUUUUGGACAGCCUUUCACACACGCAACAAGGCAGUUUUCUGUAUCUAAAAUGCAUGCACAAGAUAUUCCUUUUUAAAAAAGGCAGUAAAUUUGUAUUUAUCAGCAUUUAGGGCUAUGCUGUUCACCUCCAAAAAUUUACAAGAAAAGACACAGAUACUUAUAAGGAUCCUAUAACAUUCACUAGUUGGAUUUCUUCUUCUAUAUUUUUUUUCGUUACAUCAAAAGCUAAAAUAGUAAUAACUUUUCUUUUGAUCUUCUGUAAUGAGCAUUCUCUCCCUUCAAAAAUCCUCUGGUUUCUCUCCUAACAUAUAAUCCACCAAAUGCAAGUUGGAACUAUUCUCCAUCGUCUCUUCUGGUUUUUACUUUCAUGUUCCACCUUUCCUCAAACAGCAGCUAAGGAAGUCUGGGUGUGCUCUGGCGUGCUCCAGUUCACACUAAUCAGUUGGGCUUGAACAUAUGAAUUAUCUAUAUCUAGUCUGGUCCAUUCAGGUUUGUCUUGUUGCAAUACUAGAUAAUUCAAGGAAAGUAGGAGCUCUCUAAAUCUCGUAAGCCUUAACACUGAUAACUGCUUUGAUCCCGAAUUCCCAAUUAAUUUUGCCAUCACAAAAAUGUUUUUAAAAAAUAAUUGUGGUGUAUGUACCAACUUAUGCGCACCUCGACUAAUUCUACGAAAUACUUGUUCCCUACCACCAAAAAUAGACAACAUGUACUCUGCUCAUGAUUAGACAAAUUGAAAGAUAUCACCUAGUGUUUUUAUCUCUGUUGGGAUUUGAACCUUAGACCUCAUGAUUCUCCUCCCACUUUAUUGACCACUAGGUCACACCCUUGGGUGCUUGCCAUCAUAUAUAUAUUUAUCGACUACAUGAUUUAUGUCAGUAUAAAAAAGCUAAAGAUUAUAAUCAUUACUUUUAUUUUAUUUUUGACUAAGGAUUAUAAUAAUGAAUUCUUAAUAGUAAAUUUUAAAUUCUCUCAAAAUAAUGAACAAUUUUAAAAGGAAAUUCUAAAGACCAUGUAUCCAAAAAUAUGAGAGGAUGAAUUUUGAACAUUGAGUUACACUUAGAAUCAUGAAAAAACAUUUUUAAACACUUUCUCAAAUUUUUGAAAAGAAAAGCAUUACUUAAAAUUAAAUGAAUACAAAACGUGUAAUUAACUAAACAUGUAAUAAUAUAAAAAGCAUUUUUGUGCAUUUAGAUGUGUGUAGGCACAUACUACUACUAUGUGCAUUUCACAUUCGAUAUGCACAUAAACCCAAGUGGGUCUUAAUACGUAAACAAAUAUGGUAACCAAGAAGAUAACAUUUGAUGCAGAAUAUGAAACCGGAAUUAUUUUUAAAAAUACGAACUAGAUGACCUUAGCUCUUGUUGUACAGCUCAUGUAGAGAUACAAUCAACUUCUGCCACAUAAUUUAGUGAAAUUAUUAACAUAAACUUGCUAGAAUUAUUAUUACGUCUAGAUCCAAUAAAAAAGUUAAACCUUACUGCACAAAUGAUACAACUUAAAAUUAUGCAAUAUCCUUCAACGUCUUUGUUCCUUUCACUCAAAAAGAUGUUCUAUAGGUACUCUGAAAGAGGCCCGGUCGAAUGAAGAUCACAAGAUGCAACAAAUGGGUUUGAGAGCAAAAUUUAGUUGUUCUGCACAUAGAUAAUGUAUGACAACUCAAGCAUAGAAGACAACAGAUAAAGGGGAACCCACCUCUCGGAAAUAUCCUCCCAUUAUGGCAUUGUACAUGUUUGUGGUAGGCAUCAAGUUAAACUUCUCCAAAUCCUUGAGCAUGUCAUAUGCACCUUCAAACUGCAGUUAGGACAACAUAGAGAACAUAGAGCUUGGCUAGUUAAGCGACUCAUUCAAUAUUUAUAUACAAAUAUUAUCCCCUGAUAUGAAGAGGAAACUUACAUCCUUUAUUCUCACAGUCAUGUUUAUCAUAAUCCUGAAGGUCUCACUAUUUGGCUUGAUAUCAUGACGAAGUAUCAUUGGAUACAUUCGAUGAACCUAAGAUUCAUGAGGAUAAACAUUAAAACAUGAUUUAUGACAACACUAUAUGAAUCAAAGAUACAAGAGAUACACAAUGGACAAUUUUAAAUAUAAUCACUAUGGUACUAGCUGCUCACUGGAGAAACUCCUAACGUAAUUUUCAAAUCAAAGAAUCAGCCAACCAGUGAUCCAGUUAACAAUGAGGGAAGAAGAGAACAUCCACAGGUUAAAUUCAACUGAAAAAUCUAUCAUUGCCAUGAUUUACUUUUUACUUGGUUUGACAUCAUGAACUUAGUACUUAUUCAUGACUGAUAAGACAUGGAUUAAUAAUUGUGAAGUCCAUUUGCUAUUUAAUACAUAACCUAUUUGGAGACUCCAACUUUGUUGCUCAUAAGGGUUAAAAGCUCCAGCUGAGCAGAUUGUGGGAAAUAAGUCCUUUCUCUUUUGAGAAGAUGAACUGUUUCUUUACUUUUGCCUCUAAAGAUUGACAUUCACAUUACAACAACAACAUACAUAGUGUAGUCUCACAAAGUUGAUCUAAACAUCAAGAUUAACCGCAUAAAAUAACUUCUUAGCACACACUAGGCAAUCAAAAAGAACUAAAUAAUGCACCCAUAUACAAGAAUUGUACCAACAAAAUUGAAACCUUAAAACGGAUUUGAUUUUCUAUGAACAACACCUAAUCUAGUAAAGAGAAAUAAUGGCAAAGAGGUCAUUCCUUGAGUGAAAAAAUAUACUUGUUUAUGCACUUUAGCAACCAUCUGGUCGUUGAUUUCUAUAAUUUUCAAAUGUCCAGUGCUGAAGUGCAAAGACCCCAAGGGUCUUAAAACCAUCACUAACUACUUAGUACAUUAGUUUUUCGAAUAAAACAUGCUGCCCAGGAUGGUCUAAGACUAGUGUACAUUCGGUAACAUUCGGUAAUGAUCAUCAAAACUGUAUUCUAACUACAUACAUGUUAGCAACUUUUUAUAUAUUCUGUUUUUUCUGACCGUGGUGUCCGGGCCAGCUUUCGCGCACCUCAACUAAUUCCACGGGAUACCUGCCACCUCCCACCUCCUACCAGAAACAAGUAACUCUAUCCACCAAGGCUAGUCGAGAUGGGAAGAAUCACCUAGUGUUUUUUGUCUCCCCCGAGUUUCAAACCUGAGACCUCAGGAUUCUCAAACACUUCAUUGACUAUUAGGCCACAUCCUUGAGUGCUAUACAUGAUAGCAAAUUUAUGAGAACCAAGGAACAUUUGUGACAGUUAAAUCUCAUCUAAUUUAUGUGUCCUAGCCCAAACUAAACAAUUAAAGUAGAUUAAGCUAAUAAACUAAGACAUCAAAAAGAUGAGGGAUUCAAACUAACCUACCAAAUUAUACUCACGGCUUUUAUCGCAGGCUUCAAGUAUGGAAUUAAAUGUCUCCAACGAUAAUGUCAAACCUGCUUCAAACAUUUGAUCAACCAUAUCUAAUGCAGCAUGUACCUAUUUACAAAGUUGCAACUGUCAGUACAUUAGAAAACUUCACACAUUAACCAGAACAUGUAAUGACUCUAAUUUUGCACAACGAAGUCUCUAAGCACUGAAUAGAAUAUCUUUAAAUAAUCAGUUCAUACCUUAAAUAACUCACAACAGUACCGAAUAAGCUUCUCAUACUGGGAAAAUGUUGGCCUAAGCUCCAACUCCGCAUGUAAAUUUUUGAAUUCAAGGAUGACAUCUUCAACCUGCCAUUAAUAACAGAGCAAUCAGAAUAAUAUUUCACUGAUGGACAGAUAUCGAGUAUUAGCAUAACUACAGAUCAGCUUGGCAACUGCAAUAGUUUACCUACAAAUUUCCAACCAAUUCCGUUAGCAGAGAAAAGAAAUGCUUAUCGCAUCCAGGAGAAUAAAAAAUAAUUAGAAGCGCAAAAUACAACACCACGCUAUAUUCCCUUUAACUUCCAUUAUUCCAGUACAUGUGACAUCAGUUGACACUGUUUGACUGAACACAGAACUUAAGGUGCAAAUUGAACUUGUGAUUUGCGCAAACAAACAGCCCCUUAGAUAUUUUAUCCAAUAAUCUUUUGAUUCAGCAUUUAAAAUUUUCUGACUUAUGCAAGCAUCAUGUGAAUGUAUACCAAGGGAGAUCAUAAGUGGAAUUAAUGAGAAGUUCCUCACCGCACUUGGCAUGCUAAUUGUAUAAUUACAAAUGAAUUUUGAGAUGUCUUUUGCUCCAAUACCUGCUUUGAGAGAGGCUAUAUUAGGAUGCGUGAAGCCGUGAAUGGAAUAUAAGUUGAAGAGAUAAGGACACUUUGUUAAUCAAUAAGAUUACCAUAGAAGUAAAAGAUCUUCUAACAGCAACAGAAAAAGGAAAAUCUUCAGUUUCCUUAUAACUGAUGCCAAUACUCACAACAUUUUCCCUAUACAGUAAUUUUUAUUUCUUUUUUUAACCGUAUAGCAAUAUCAGUUUGCAGAAUCAGAUAAUAAUCCUUUCUAAGAUGUAUUGGGACAAGAUACCGUCAUACAGGUCACACUAUGAGUUAAACAAUCAUGGCAACCUUCACUUUAAAGUACCCAAUGCAAUUAGAAACAAUUUGGCUAAACAUGAGGCCCUUGAUUGUUGAAUUAGCUUUAGAGGUGCCUCUAAAGAAAAAUAAGGUGACAAGUUACCUGUUGUUACCAACUCCUGAAGAAAUAUCUUAGCGAAGGACUCCAAUAGCAACUUCCCCAAGAACUUGAAGAUAUUUGCGACAAAAUCAAUAGAUGAAACUUUUGUUAUGUCAAUAGUUCUUAGAACCCUCACAAAAUCCUCAACUCGGUCACUUUCGCACAGUGCUAAGAGGUAGUUUUCUGCAACAUGUUAACAUUGUGAAAGUCUAAAAUAUGGCAAUAGUACAGUAAAGCAUCUGCCAAAACUCAUCAUGAGAUGCAUUUAAGAAAUGAUUCGUAAGAUUCUAAGAUGUUACCGCAUUGCAAAGAGACUCUAAAUUCAUCAACAAUUUGCAAAUGCAUUAUAAAUAUCAUGUACAGUAAACAUGAUAAAAGAGGCAUGCAACUCAAUCAUUUUUAUCACUAGUCAUUAAGUGCAAGGUACCACAAGUAAUUUCUAAUCAGCAGGAUCAAACAACCAGAGUAUAAAAACUAAAUUUGUAAUAGGGGUAUAUGUCAGUAAAUUGCAAACCUUGAAAGGCAGAUUUAUCAGCACCAUCAUAAAGAGAAAGAUGGUAGAGGAGUUCUUCUAUUUUAUCUUCAUUUUCCACCUUAGCCCAAAGCAACAUCUCAUAGUAAGUUAAUCUCACAAGUGAAUCAGCAUUUCCAUCCGUAAUGAGCUCACAGUAAAAAUCAAAAUCUUGUACCAUGCCAAAAUCAAUAAAAUACAUAAGAAUUGAACCAUAGCUCUCCUCUUUUAAUUGAAAACCCUGUUCCUUCAUUGAUUUUAGUAGUUGAUAUGCCUUUGAAAGCUGCUUCAACGACACCUCUUCAUCAUUACUUUCUCUGGCCUUCUCUAUACAGAGUCUUAUCAGCGCAUUAUAUUCUUUCAGGCCAGUUUCUCGUCCCAAUUUACCAAACACCUUAAUGGUAGUAUCAGUCCCCAAUUUACAGGCACAUUGUUCAACUAACUGGUGGAAACGACCUACCUGAGAACUCUUGAAGGUCCACUUUUCCUUCCUUUCUCGUGCUAUUUCUUUCCGCCGCAAUGAAAUGCUGCAUUUUUCUACAUUUGAUAACCAUGGUACAUCCAAUACAUUUUCCAAGCAACUUGCAUUACUACUCUCUUCUGGAUCGCUCAAAUAAGAAUCUAAAUCACCUAUAUAGAUAAUCAGAAGAAUAUAUAGGUAAAAUGGGAUGCAAGACAAUUGCAUACAGACAACAUAUGAAAAGAUUAAUAGAUAUUCUAAGUUGUGCAUUCUUUGUCCACAUCUAGUUACAUCACAAGGAAUUCAGUAAAAAGAAUAUGCAGUUUCCAAGCCACCAAGAAGCCAUGAGAAAAGAUCUUAACGCACCAACUUGGUAUGCUCUAGAAAUAACAAUAAUUUUUUUUAAAAAAAAAGGUACUACUUCAAAAUGCUUUGCUAGUUUGUUCAGUUGGAAUUUCUUACCACUGAAAAUAGCAUUGAUAUAUUAUUGGAUUUUCUUAGCUCCUUGAACUUAGCAUUGUACCGGAGGUAACCUUUGGGACCUUUUGUAAGUAUGCAUCUUCUUUAUUUUUUGAUUAAAAUUAACUACUUACUUCAUCAAAAAUAAAUAAAAGAUAAUAAUACAACCACACAUAUUACUUUCUUGAUAUCUCUUAAGCCCCCAAGAUAAUGCAUAAAUAUCAAUACAAGGAUAAGAGUAGCUGGCCAAACAUCAUAAUUUACAUGUUUGUUCAACCUCUGGCUGUCAAAUAUCAUUAUAAUUACAAGAAUUCCCAAGACAGAGAACCACAACAGAUUCAGAUAGAUUCAAAUCUUAAACGGGGGAAUGACAUUUUAGACAUUUGUGGCAGAACUUUCCAAUUUGGCAAUUGAAAAUUUGUGGUAACUCAUUUAAGUCUUCAAUGGUCACAGAGUGAAUUAUUGAAGCUCCAAGAUACCCCACACUCCAAAAAAAUCUUGACUCGUGAAGGAAGGAAACAAGACAUAUUGACAGAUAUAUUUACCAUUUCAAUGUACAUUUAGCAGAGAAAGGUAAAACCACCUUCUAGCUCGUCAUAGGAGUUAGGAAAGCUGUGUACAUAACGAAAGUUCCCUAAAUCCGAGCCAAAGGAAGAAUUAAAUUUAGUCAGUACAGGAAAAGUACAACUCGCAGGAAAGCAGGAGAGAUUCUUCACCUAUUACUCUAACAAACUAAUAUUGUCCCAAGAACAAUAAACUAAACAUGAUGUUGUACCAAUAUGAUGGUAUCUAUCAUAAUGUGCAUUCAUAUUUAACAACUCAUCUCUAAUUUGAACAACUGAGUCCAUGCAAUAUACCAAAGUAAAAAAAACUAUACAAAGAGCCAACAAAAGAAUAAACAAAGAGAAGGAACUAUUUCAGAAAAAAAAAACGAAAGUUAGCUGUCCUCCUCAGAUUUUAACAUAUCUAAGACUUAGGGUCCAUUUGGUUACUGGUAUUAGGGGGCUUAAGUUCAUCAACUCUUCACUUAUAAAUGCAUUUGAUGUUCAGUUGUGGCCUUGUCGGUAUAAGCUAAAACUAGGAUAAAAUCAUACCAAAAUCAUGAGAAUAAGUGGGACUACCUAUCCUGGUUAUAAUCAAUCUCAGGGACUUAACCUUGCUUUGAACCAAACAACCCGUACAAUACAAACUGUAAUGAAUACACCUAACUAAUCAAAUUAACACAACAAAAAAAGAAAAGAUAAAAACAUACCACAGAGUAUCGAUGAUAUUUCACUUGACAACAGUUUUGAUGAUUCCCCUACACAAACAAACAAACCCAAAACACAUAAACUAAUUAAACACCUUUAAAUAUUCCUCCUUUUGCCUUUAUAACAAUGAGUUACAUUUCUCAGAUAUCUCAUACAAAAAAACAAACUUUCUGAAAUAAUAAUUAUUACAACAAAACAUGAAGCAUUAUUACAACAAAACAUGAAGCAUAAUUCCACAAGUGGGGUUUAGCCACGUAGUGUAUACGCAUAUCUUACCACUAUCAAAACAAAUCAAUAAAGUUAGAGCAAAUAAGAAUUGGGAAAAUGUGCUUACCAUAGUCAGCAGCAGACUUAAAGUUGAAACUUUCAGCAGCUAUUUCACUGAGAGACUUAGAAGAAUCAUUAGAGGGUUUAGAAGAUGGAGAUCCAUAUUGUUUUAGGGCAACACCAUUGGCUGAAGUUGAAGGGGAAACAGGUUUCCAUUGCUUUGAUAAUUUAGUAGCGGCACGGAACAAAGAUGUUAGGGUUUUGGAUUUGGAACCGGGCAUGAGCAAUGACCCAACUGGAUUCUUGCUUCACUGUCAACUCAAAGCUUACCACAGCACAGAUUAAACAAAAAGAUUCAAUCUUUUUUGCAGAAACACUCAAUUCUAACAGUUAGAUUUGAUUAUGUUGAGUUAAAUUAGUGUUUAAUUUGAUCUAAAACUGCAUAAUCCAAGAAAGGAAUUUGAUCUAAAACUGCAUAAUCCAAGAAAGGAAUUUGGUGAAUGAAGAAAUUAAGGAACUGACUAUGAAAGGAGCCAACAACGUUCACAAUACAAAGGUUCUUCGAGGCUAAAGUGAAAUUUGCACAAGUACUAUUAGAUCCUCGAUUUUAAAAAAAUUAUAAUUUAUUUUCUGAUUUUAUCUUAAUUAUGCGAGAAAUAAAUUUAUUUUUAAUUAUAAUUAGUAAUUUAUUAUUACUGGUACUAAAUAUUUCCAAAGUUGUACUUUGAUCAGUACUCUCUUCAUUUCCAUUUAUAUGACAUUUUUUAAAUUUUGAAAUUCAAACAAGUUUAGUUUUUAUUAUAAAUUUUUUAAAUAUUUUUAAAUUGUAAAUUAUUAUGAUUUAUACUACUUUUUACAUAAUUUAUAAAUAUAACUUUUUUUAAAAAGAUUUUAGGUCUAAAUUUUUAAUCGAAUUUAAAUGUUUUAAUUUUUAGAAAAUAUCACAUAAAUUGAGAUCGUCAUGUGAGUUCCUUUCCAUUUUAUUUGUAUUGGCAGACAAUCAAUUUUGAAAUAGUAGAAAGAACUUUGUUUUCCUUCCUUUCUUGAAAAGUGAAAAAUAUGCUUUUAUCACUUACUCCUUGUUUGAAUGGUUUUUAUUCGUUGUGUUAUAAUAUAUUGUUAUUUUAAAUAUAAUAUUUGUUUUAUUUGUUAUUUGAAUUUGAGUAUAUCGUAUCAUUUAAGUUUAUUGUAAGAUAAUGAUAAAAAAAUUGAUUUUAUGUAACGAAUGAUUUGACGUGAUUGCAUCAAUACCUUAAUAUUUAUUUUUAUUUUAUCUCUACUUAUAUUCAAUAAUUCUAUUUUUAUCGUGUACCAUGUCAUUUCAUAGUAUUUCUAUCCUAAAAACUACGAUUUUUUAAAUUUAUCAUUUAAAUUAUAGAUAUGUGACGUUAUAUAAGGACGGAGAACGAUACAAUAUAUAAAAUACCAUACAUUGACAAUGAUGGACGAUUAAUUUAUCUUCUAGACAAGAUUUUAUUAAUAAUAACGUGUGGAGAAUGAUUCUAAAGUUACCUUAAACUAGUCCGGCCAGGUCUCAAGAAUCUUAAAAACAAACACUUCAAAUUUUUUUUUUUAAAAAAAAAUUAUACACUACUAUGUCACUUUUAAUAGAUAAAACUACAAUUUUAGUAAAAAAAGUAUAAUAAAUAACCUAGAAAAUAAAGCAUAUUACUUAUUAUAAUAUGUUGAUAUAUAUUGAUAUACAUUAUUUAUUGUUAUGUACUUAAAGUUAAACCCCUCAACUCCAUCAACGAAUGUGAUGCACUAGAUUAUGGCUACUAAUUCUUUUAAGCAUGAAGUAUUGAUAAAUUUAAAUUAGUCGAGAUUCAAUAUAAGUAUUGAUCAAACACAAAUAAAUUUAAUGUUAAUAACUUAAAAUUUUGAAUCUGCUCUCUUGAUUCUAAUUUGUCACGAUAAGAAUUAAGAAAUAAUUAAAAACAAGGAGACCAAACUAGAAUUGACAAAACCAACAAAUUUGUUAAGUUUUAAGGCUACCAACAAACAAAGCCGGCAAAUACAAACUUUAUUGCAUAUUCCCUUUUAGCUAAUAAUCUGCCCUGUGGCCUGCAAAAAGCAUAUUAUAAAAACAAGAUUAAUUAUAGUGUUUUUUGUGUAUUGUUUCUAUAAUGGGAGGUAAUAAUAAACAAGGCAUGUUCAGAUUUGCUGAUAAAAAAGAUAAGAUGUUAAUGUUCUUUGGAACAUUAGGAAGUAUGGGAGAUGGUCUUCAGAUUCCACUAAUGAUGUUUGUGCUUAGUGAUGUAAUUAAUGAUUAUGGAAAUUUAAGUAAUUCUGUUUCUAUGAAGACUGUCAACAAGGUGAUACAACGAUUAAUUAGCUUUAAUUUGCAUGCUAAUUAGUAGUAAACAUUUGUUAAGAGUGUUUUGUUUUCAUUGCAGUAUUCUCUCAGGUUACUAUAUGUUGCUAUUGGAGUUGGACUGGCUUCUUUUGUUGGUAAGUGAAACUAAGUUUCAUUUUCUCUCUUGAUUUGACACAAAAAGGCGGAUCAACGACAAGGGUGAGGCUAGUUCAAGUGGUUGAGCACCUUCACUAGGUUCGAGUAACACUAUUGAUCCUUCUGAUGGGGUUACAAUAUAUAGUUUGAUGUACUAAGUUCUCGGAAUUGUCUUAUCUUAGAGCAGGGGUAGCCUCAGGUGGGAAGGGUCAGGGGUUCGCUCUUUGGAUUAUUUGACUAUGAACUUGGUUAUUAGUAUUAUAUAUUAACUUGAUAUUGUUAUGAAAACUUACAAACUUCAAAUCCUGGAUCGUUUUUUUUUGUGUGUGUGUGAUGGUAACAAAAGAUGACAUAUUGAAACAUUUGUGAGUGCAGAAGGAUUAUGUUGGGCAAGAACUGCAGAAAGACAAACAUCUAGAAUGAGAUUAGAGUAUCUAAAAUCUGUUCUGAGGCAAGAAGUUGGAUUUUUCGAUACACAGGCAGCUGAAUCUUCCACUACUUAUCAAGUAAUUUCGACUGUAUCAGCUGAUUCAACUACCAUCCAGAUCACCAUAGGCGAGAAGGUAUGUAAAUAUUCUCUUCCAUUUGUGCUGUGAAUAAUUUGUUGCUGUUGUAAAUAGUUGUAACAACAACAACAUACUCGUCAAGGGAGCCAAGAUUCGGUAUACAUGUAUAAAAGGUACUAGAGUAAUAUUUAACGUAUAUACAUAGUAUAAUUUUCUAGCGGGAGAUGUUCAAAUGACCACCCUUCUGUCAAUGAAGUUCUGCAAUACUUAAUCAGAAGAUUUAUAGUAGUAGUAAUACUUUUGCUUCUCAAAUAACGUUGUAUAACUAUAAUAUUAUUUUAGUUGAUAGAAAAAAAAUGUAAUAGCCAAUCUUUGUUCUCAAGUUUUGCAUUUUGUAGUCUCUAAUCUUUACUUUGUGCUUUCAUUCAGAUACCUGAUUGCCUGGCUUACAUGUCGUCCUUCCUGUUCUGUCAUAUCUUUGCCUUUCUACUCUCAUGGAAGAUCACUUUGGCCGCGAUACCAUUCACCUUAAUGUUCAUCAUUCCUGGACUUGGAUUUGGUACAAUGAUGAUGAAUGUGGGAAUGCAGAUGAUAGAGUCAUAUGGAGUUGCAGGAGGAAUAGCAGAACAAGCUAUUUCUUCAAUAAGAACACUGUAUUCUUAUGUGGCUGAGAACCAAACUCUCGAAAAGUUCAGUCAAUCGUUGCAGAAAGUUAUGGAACUAGGAAUUAAGCAAGGAUUUGCUAGAGGGCUGUUGAUGGGAAGCUUAGGAAUGGUUUAUAUUAGUUGGGCUUUUCAAGCAUGGCUCGGAUCGAUUCUAGUUAGCAAACAUGGAGAAAAAGGAGGUGAUGUAUUUGUAGCAGGUUUCAAUGUUCUUAUGGGAGGAUUGUAAGUUUUCUUACACCUUAUGUUGCUCGGACUCUUCAAAAAAAUGUCACUAGGUAGGUGUCGAAUCCUCCAAAAGUAGUGCAUUUUGGAGGAUCCGAGCAAUAUAGUUCUCACCUUAAUACUCAUGUUUUUAGUCUCUCUAUAUGUUGCUAGAAAUGAUGUUGAUUAAGACGUUCAUGUUCCUGCAGAAACAUUCUGUCGGCUCUUCCAAAUCUUACAGCAAUCACGGAGGCAAAGUCUGCUGCAAUUCGGAUCACAGAGAUGAUUGAUCGACAACCAGCAAUCGACACUGAAGAUAAGAAGGGGAAAGCAUUGUCAUAUGUAAGAGGAGAAAUUGAAUUCAAUGGUGUCUGCUUCAGUUACCCCUCAAGGCCCGAUGCGCCUAUCUUGCAAGGCCUGAAUCUUAGAAUUUCACCGGGGAAAACUACAGGACUUGUUGGGGGUAGUGGUUCAGGAAAGUCCACAAUCAUUUCAUUGCUUCAGAGAUUCUAUGAUCCCAUUGAAGGCGAUAUUUCAUUGGAUGGUCACAAGAUAAAGAAACUCCAUAUAAAGUGGCUGAGGUCCCAAAUAGGUCUGGUUAAUCAAGAACCAAUUCUCUUUGCAACAACCAUAAAAGAGAACAUACUGUUUGGCAAAGAGGGAGCAACUAUGGAAGAAGUGGAGAAGGCAACAAAAGCUGCAAAUGCUCAUGAUUUCAUUAUAAAGUUACCAGAUGCAUAUGAAACUCAGGUACAUAGCCUCAGUUUCAUAAUACUCCCUCCUUUUCAAUUUGUUCGUCUGAUUUUGACUUGACGGAGUUAUAGAAAGUAAAAGAUACUUUUGAAUCUUGUGGUCGUAAAGAUAGGUAGAAUGUGUAAAAUGUCAUUUAAUCUUGUGGUCUUAAACGUGCUAUGUGGAAAGUUAGAAUGAAGGAGUUGUUUUUUUAAAUAGGUUGAAAAGGAAUGUAAGACAAACAAAUUGAAACGGAGGAAGUGUGAUAGUAAAAAGAAAACCACAUCACUACAAGUGAAACUGUGUUUAAAGUCCUUGUUAUAAUUGUACCUUCAAAUGUUGCAGGUUGGGCAAUUUGGUCUGCAGUUAUCUGGAGGACAAAAGCAGCGAAUAGCCAUAGCGAGGGCUUUGAUAAGAGAUCCAAAAGUCUUGCUGCUUGAUGAAGCUACAAGUGCAUUGGAUUCACAGUCUGAAAGAGUUGUACAAGAGGCCCUUGAUCAUGCAUCUAUGGGGAGAACUGCAAUCGUCAUAGCUCACCGUCUGUCCACCAUUAGAAUGGCGUAUAGGAUAGUAGUUCUUCAACAAGGGAGAGUAAUAGAGUCUGGAACACACGAAGAGCUUAUGCAAAUGACUGAUGGUGAAGGUGGAGAGUAUUACAAAAUGGUGCAGCUGCAGCAACUAGCCACAUUAAAUGAUGUCGCCAAUACCCCUAAUCAAAAGACUGGUGGAAGACGUAGCUAUCGUAAAGGUAGUAAUACCCCUCAAAGUCCAUUCAACAUGAUAUCUAGUGCAGCAGCCACACCGGUUAUGUACCCGUUCAGUCCAGCAUUUUCCAGAAGUACACCAUUGUCAGUUCCUUACUCCGUCCAGUAUGAAGAAUCAUAUGAAAGUUAUGAUAACCAUUUGACAAAAGUGGCUCAUCCAGCGCCUUCACAAUUGCGUUUACUCCAAAUGAAUGCUCCUGAAUGGGGUAGAGCUUUGCUCGGAUGCAUAGGAGCGAUAGGCUCGGGAGCUGUUCAGCCAAUAAAUGCCUACUGCGUUGGGGCAGUUAUAUCUGUUUACUUCCGUCCUGAUAAAUCCUCCAUCCAAUCUCACGCGAGGAUCUAUUCUUUCAUAUUCAUAGGUCUUGCUGUUUUCAACUUCUUCACAAAUGUAAUCCAACACUACAAUUUUGCUGUCAUGGGAGAAAGGCUAACCAGAAGGAUAAGGGAGAUGCUGCUUGCCAAACUCAUGACGUUUGAGAUCAAAUGGUUUGAUCAAGAUGAGAACACGAGUGCAUCUAUAUGUGCUCGGCUAUCAACUGAGGCAAACAUGGUUCGUUCCCUUGUGGGAGACCGUAUGUCAUUGCUAGUUCAAGCAUUCUUUGCUGCUACAUUUGCUUAUACAUUAGGACUUUUCCUAACAUGGAAGCUGUCCUUAGUGAUGAUGGCAGCUCAGCCUUUGCUCAUUGGAAGUUUUUACGCGAGGACUGUACUGAUGAAGAGUAUGUCUGUAAAAGCACAGAAAGCUCAAAGAGAAGGAAGCCAACUAGCAAGUGAAGCUGUUAUUAAUCAUAGAACAAUCACCGCUUUCUCAUCUCAGAAAAGGAUAGUAGGGCUCUUUAGAGACUCAUUAGAAGGUCCUAGAAAGGAAAGCAUACGACAAUCUUGGUAUGCCGGUAUAGGUCUAUGUAGCUCUCAAUUCCUAGCUGCAGCUUCUACAGCUUUAGCUUACUGGUACGGCGGAAAACUAUUGUCACAAGGAGACGUAUCUCCUGAGAAACUUUUUCAAGCAUUUCUAGCAUUGCUUUUCACUGCUUAUACUAUUGCUGAGGCAGGAAGCAUGACUAAAGAUAUAUCUAGAGGAAAUAAUGCUGUGGGUUCAGUCUUUGCAAUCCUCGAUAGAAACACCGAGAUCAAUCCAGAUAAUUCAUCAGCAAUAGAUGCAACGAGAACACAAAUAAGGGGACGUGUGGAGCUGAAAAGAGUAUUCUUUGCUUAUCCAUCAAGACCAGAUCAGCUGAUUUUCAGAGGAUUAAGCCUCAAGAUAAGUGCAGGAACUACAGUGGCAUUAGUUGGACAGAGUGGUUGUGGAAAAUCAACGAUAAUUGGGCUUAUUGAAAGAUUUUAUGAUCCAGAUAAAGGAUCAGUCUAUAUCGACGAAAGGGAUGUUAAAGACUACAACUUGAGAUCCCUGAGGCAAAGUAUUGCAUUAGUUAGCCAAGAACCAACUCUCUUUGCAGGAACUAUCUACGAGAACAUUGCAUAUGGAAAAGAGAACGCCAGCGAAUCUGAGAUAAUAAAUGCUGCUGUGCUUGCUAAUGCUCAUGAAUUUAUAAGGUCAGAUAUACAUUCAUCGCCAAUUUAUUUGAAGUUCUUCCAUAAUAAAUGUCAUUUGCUACAGAAAACUGUUGCACGAACUUUAAAUUUACCAUAAUAUAACACCUGAGCUUAACUCAACCCCAAAAGUUAGUUAAUGAGUGAGACUUUCCCAAGUUCAUAUAAGCAGAUCACCGGUCCAUUCCCCACCAAUGUGGCACUCUAACACGUUCUUCACGCCCAAGCCCAACUAGAGCGUGAUCAGGGAUGGACCUGGCUCUAAUACUAUGCAAUUGAAUGGAGUUAGUUGUUGUCUUAUUCCAAUAGGUAAGCAAUGUAUAAAUACAGCACGUUAGUGCUAACUUAGGAAAGAAAAAUAAAUAAGGAUCACUACGAGUGUGCUGCGUAACUAUAUCUAUGUAACAACCAAUAACUAAAUUACUUUGUAAUGCAGUGGGAUGAAUGAUGGAUAUGAAACUCAAUGUGGACAAAGAGGAGUGCAACUAUCAGGAGGUCAGAAACAAAGAAUAGCCAUUGCCCGAGCAAUACUCAAGAGCCCGAAAAUCCUGUUGUUAGAUGAAGCAACUAGUGCUCUUGACACUGUGUCUGAAAGCGCGGUCCAAGAAGCACUAGAGAAAAUGAUGGUUGAACGAACAUGCAUUGUCGUGGCUCAUCGUCUAUCAACAAUACAGAAAGCUAGUUCCAUUGCUGUUAUACAAGAUGGAAUAGCUGCAGAACAAGGCUCACAUUCUGAUCUACUUUCUAUAGGAAAAUAUGGUUCAUAUUAUUCUUUGGUAAAGUUACAAGGGGGAAACUCUCCUUACACGUAAACUUAGAAAAAAUAACUUGUCUUGUGCUACAUUUGACAUCAUUUUUGUAAAUUGAGAUAUGGUAUCCGAACCGUUCUUUCACGUUUUCAACGAUAUGACAUUUUUUUAAAAAAGACAAAAUAUUUAUUUUUUCUUGAUAUUAUAAAAGUGAUAAAUGAAAUAAAUAAAUAUAUAUUUAAAAUAGUGGAAAAAUAAAAUUUAAGAGAAGGGGUAAUAUAGUAAUUUCAACAAUAAAUGAGUAGACACAGAAUUUUACUCAUAAAAAAGCUAUGCGCAAACUUGUUUUAUACCUUAUCUUAUUUGUUCUUUCUAUUUAGAUAACACUGAAACGUUUCUCACGUUUUCAAGAACAAGACGUUUUCAUAAAAUAUAAAUUAUUUAUCUUUUCUUGAUAUUAUAAAAGUAAGAAAUGAAAUAAAUAAAUAAAUAUUUAAAAUAGUGGGGGGAAAAUCAAAGAGAAGGGGUAAUAUAAUAAUUGCAACAAUAAAUGAGAUGACACGAAAUUUUACUCAUAAAACGCAAGGGACAAACACGUUUUAUGAUUUAUCUUAUGAGUUCUUUCUAUUUAGGUAUCUCUGAAGUGUUUUUUCACGUUUUUAACGACAUAACCUUUUUUUAAAAGAUAAAAUAUUUAUCUUUUCUUGAUAUUAUAAAAUUAAUAAAUGAUAUAAAUAAAAUAUAUCUAAAAUAGUCGAAAUAUAAUGAUUUUUUUUAAAAGAUAAAUAUUUAUCUUUUCUUUAUAUUAUGAAAGUAAGAAAUGAAAUAAAUAAAUAUAUAUCUAAAAUGGUAGGAAAAUAAAAUAGAAGAGAAGAGGUAAAUGGGUGACACAAAAUUUUACUCAUAUAGUUUUAUGCUUUAUCUUAUCCUCUUUAUAUCUCUGAAGCGUGUUUUCACGUUUUCAACGACAUGACGUUAUUUUUAAGAUAAAAUAUUUCUUUUUUCUUGAUAUUAUUAAAGUAAUAAGUGAAAUAAAUAAAUAUAUAUCUAAAAUAGUGAAAAAAUAAAAUUAAAGAGAAGGGGCAAUAUAGUAAUUUCAAUAAUAAAUGAGAUGACACAGAAGCUUACUCAUAAAACGCAUUUGACAAAAUAAAAUUGAUGAGAAAGGGUAAUAUAGUAAUUGCAACAAUAAAUGAGAUGACACGGAAUUUUACUCAUAAAACGCAAGGGACAAACACGUUUUAUGAUUUAUCCUAUGAGUUCUUUCUAUUUAGGUAUCUCUGAAGCGUUUUUUCAGGUUUUCAAUGACCUGGCCUUUUUUAAAAAGAUAAAAUAUUUAUUUUUCUUGAUAUUAUAAAAGUAAUAAGUGAAAUAACUAAAUAGAUAUUUAAAAUAGUGAAAAAUAAAAUAGAAGAGAAGGUGUAAUAUAGUAAUUUCAAUAAUAAAUAAUUAGACACAGAAUUUUAUUCAUAAAACGCAAUUGAAAAACUUGUUUUAUGGUUUAUCUUAUCUGUUCUUUCUAUUUAGAUAUUUUUGAAGCAUUUUUUCACGUUUUCAAUGACAUUACUUUUUUUUAAAAGAUAAAUAUUUAUCUUUUCUUUACAUUAUAAAAAGUAAGAAAUGAAAUAAAUAUAUAUAUAUAAUAUAUAUAUAUAUAGUAGGAAAAUAAAAUUAAAGAAAAGGGGUAAUAUAGUAAUUUUAACAAUAAAUGAGAUGAUACAAAAUUUUACGUGACGAGAUUAAAAAACUUUAAUUGCUUUUUAAAUUAUUUUUUAUAUGAUGAGUUUAAGAUAUUUUUGACUGAUUUAAUAUUGAAUUUGAUUAUUGCGUUAAUGUUUAAUUAUUCUAAAGAAUAGUUCAACAAUAAUUAAGAAAAUGUAUUAAUUUGUAUAUAUCAAAGUUAUCGAUUGCUUUAUCAUCAACAACUUACAAAGACACCACCUUGAAAUCCGUGCCCACAUUGAACGGAUAUGAAUUUUUCUAAACUUUUAUUUAAUAAAAAGACACCACUAACAAGUUACAAUAAAAAAGAAUCUUUCAUUUUUUUUAAAAAAAAUUAUAUUAAAAAUAAAAAAAUAUUUUCGAUAAAAAAAAUUAUUUAAUAUUUAAUAUCUAUAAAAUUAUUUUAAAUUUAUAUUUUUAUAAUUCAAUUAAAAAAAUAUUUUCUAUUCAAUAAUCGUAUCCAGUGCACCAUAUUUUUUGGCGAUUACCACUCAUAUUAUUGUGUUUAGUAGAUAUUUUAGGUGCAUAAUUGAUCUCUUCUUUAAAACUAGGGGCACUUAUUAUUAUACAUCCACUUGACACUUGCUUUAGUUGGCUAUUUUUUUUAUUUUUUAUUUUUUGUCAACUACCCCAAUUUAAAUUUUAUUUGAUUAAGAUAUUUUUAUGGACCUACUUUAUAAUUAAAAAUAUUUUCUAUUUGAAAAGGAAGGACAAAAAUCAUACAAUUUUGGUCCAACUACUCCUCUCUUUUUUUUUUUGGCUUUAUAAAAAAGGAAAGUGAUUAGUAAUAAAUAAUUAAAUAAUGAAAAAAGGAGGAAAUAAAAUUUUCGAAUUAAAAUGUAAAAGAGAAAAAGGAGAGGGAGUAAUCAUUGUUUAACUUUAUCUAAAGUACCCCAAUUCGAUUUUACAUGUAUAUCAAAUUAUACAAAUAUUUUAUUAAAAUAUAGAUAUUGAAUAAUUUUAUUAUUCUUGAACAUGUAAAUAAAAAUUAUCUAUUAUUUCAAUUUUUAUAUAAACUAUUAUUUGAAAUCUCAAUUAUGAUUUUUUAAUAUCACUUUCUAUCCAUGAUAAUUUCAGCUUAAAAAGUUUUGUCAAUAAUUACAUUAAUUUUGUUGAUGAGGAUGACAAGAUUUCGGUCAUCAAUUACAUAUACACAAAUUGAAAUAGUAAGCAACUUGAUUUUUUUUCUCAUAAUGAUAAUGACAAAGACACGAAAAGACAAUUCAAUAUUCACAUUGAUUUAUUUUUAUAUGAUAAUAAUUACAAUAAUAAUAUUCUUAUAAAGAAAGAGAUCAAUUUUGACUGAUCCAAAAAUUUAUUUAUUUUUACUAUACCAACGUCACUAAUUAUAUCUAAUAAUGUAAAACAAUUCAAUCUUACUUAAAUAUUAAUUUGAAAUAAACUAUUUUUAUAACGAAAUUACUAAAUUUAUCCAAUAACAAAAAGGUCUUAAGAAGACAUAAAUUCUUUUUUUGUAAUGCUCAAAUAAAUUUGAGUAAAAAAGAAUGAAAUUGAGUGAUUUUUUUUUAAUCAUAAGAAAAUAAAUAAUUAAUUUCAAUAUAAUAAAACAGUAAUAUAAUUUCAUAAAUGGAAUUCAAUACUUACCUCUUAGAUAUAAAAAAUAAAUAUAAAAAUAAAGUGUUUCUAAUAAACCCGCAAUUUAAAUAAAAUAUUUAAUAUUUUCAAUCAAAUUUAAAUAAUUAUAUUAAAAUAUCGUAGAAAAAGAGCAAUAUAUAAUACAAGAAAGAAGAUUUAAGUACAAUUAUCAACUAUUAUUAUACUCUAAUUUUGUUAUAUUUAAUUUCUUACGGUUAAGGUCAUGUUCACGAUAAACUCAAAAUACGCUGUAUGAGGACAUAUUUUAAAUUUUAACCAAUAAUAAAACUAAGUUAUUUUUAGUAUAUUUUUUUGUUUAACGUGACUUAAUUUUUCUUUUCUAGAGGAGCGUGUAAGUGUCAACCUCAUUCUCCUAAUUUUCCCAACCACAUAAAAAAAAAAUAAAGGUAGCUUUUGCGUGUUGAUUUGGUACACUACACGUCAUUAUUACACGUGUUUUCGUAUGAUUGGUUAAUCCAUGAGGCGGUUUCCUCUAGAGUCGGCCAUACCAUCUAUAAAAUAAAGCUUUCUGCAGCUCAUUUUUUCAUCUUCUAUCUGAUUUCUAUUAUAAUUUCUCUGAAUUGCCUUCAAAUUUCUCUUUCAAGGUUAGAAUUUUUCUCUAUUUUUUGGUUUUUGUUUGUUUAGAUUCUGAGUUUAGUUAAUCAGGUGCUGUUAAAGCCCUAAAUUUUGAGUUUUUUUCGGUUGUUUUGAUGGAAAAUACCUAACAAUUGAGUUUUUUCAUGUUGUUUUGUCGGAGAAUGCCUACAAUUGGAGUUCCUUUCGUUGUUUUGAUGAGAAAGCCCCUAAUUUGAGUGUUUUUCCGUCGAUUUGAUUUUAAAGGUUUAUAUUCGAGUUUUUUUCGUCGGUUUAAUGAGAAGGCCUAAAAUAGGAGUUUUUCUGGUUGAUUUGACUAAAAAAGCCAUGGAAUUUUGUGUUUUUGAUGUCGCUUUGGUUCUCAAGGCCUAAGAUCUGAGUUUCUCCGGUUGUUUUGAUGAAAAAGCCCUAAAAUUGGAGUUUUUAUCUUGUGUUUUAGGUUGUUUUAAUCCUUAUAAUUUGAGUUUUUUCGUUGUUCUGAUUGUUGUUUUUAUGAAUUUUGCAGAUGCAGAUCUUUGUGAAAACUCUCACCGGAAAGACUAUCACCCUAGAGGUGGAAAGUUCUGAUACAAUCGACAACGUUAAGGCUAAGAUCCAGGAUAAGGAAGGAAUUCCCCCGGAUCAGCAAAGGCUUAUCUUCGCUGGAAAGCAGUUGGAGGACGGACGUACUCUAGCUGAUUACAACAUCCAGAAGGAGUCCACCCUCCAUUUGGUGCUCCGUCUACGUGGUGGUAUGCAGAUCUUCGUGAAGACUCUCACGGGUAAGACGAUUACCCUUGAGGUCGAAAGCUCAGACACCAUUGACAACGUCAAGGCUAAGAUCCAGGAUAAGGAAGGCAUUCCCCCAGACCAGCAGAGGUUGAUCUUUGCAGGAAAGCAGUUGGAAGAUGGCCGCACCCUAGCUGACUACAACAUCCAGAAGGAGUCCACCCUCCAUUUGGUGCUCCGUCUCCGUGGUGGUAUGCAGAUCUUCGUUAAGACUCUUACCGGAAAGACCAUCACUUUGGAGGUGGAAAGCUCCGACACCAUUGACAACGUGAAGGCUAAGAUCCAGGAUAAGGAAGGGAUCCCCCCAGACCAGCAGAGGUUGAUCUUCGCUGGAAAGCAGCUCGAGGAUGGUCGCACCCUGGCUGACUACAACAUCCAGAAGGAGUCUACCCUCCAUCUUGUCCUCCGUCUCCGUGGUGGUAUGCAGAUUUUUGUUAAGACCCUCACCGGAAAGACCAUCACUUUGGAGGUGGAAAGCUCCGACACCAUUGAUAAUGUUAAGGCUAAGAUCCAGGACAAGGAGGGAAUUCCUUCAGACCAGCAGAGGUUGAUUUUCGCUGGUAAGCAGCUCGAGGACGGCCGCACCCUUGCCGACUACAACAUCCAGAAGGAGUCGACCCUUCACCUUGUCCUCCGUCUACGUGGUGGUAUGCAAAUCUUUGUGAAGACCCUUACCGGGAAAACCAUCACCCUGGAGGUUGAGAGCUCCGACACCAUUGACAAUGUCAAGGCCAAGAUCCAAGACAAGGAGGGUAUUCCCCCAGACCAGCAGAGGUUGAUUUUUGCUGGCAAGCAGCUCGAGGAUGGCCGCACUUUGGCGGACUAUAACAUCCAAAAGGAGUCGACCCUGCACUUGGUGCUUAGGCUGAGGGGAGGAAUGCAGAUCUUUGUGAAGACCUUGACCGGGAAGACCAUCACUUUGGAGGUGGAGAGUUCUGACACCAUCGACAAUGUGAAAGCUAAGAUUCAGGACAAGGAGGGGAUCCCACCAGACCAGCAGAGGUUGAUUUUCGCUGGUAAGCAGCUUGAGGAUGGCCGCACCCUUGCUGACUACAAUAUCCAGAAGGAGUCCACCCUGCACCUUGUCCUCCGUCUCCGUGGUGGUUUUUAAGUUGUGGUUGUCUGGUUGCGUCUGUUGCCCGUUGUCUGUUGCCCAUUGUGGUGGUUGUGUUUGUAUGAUGGUCGUUAAGGAUCAUCAAUGUGUUUUCGCUUUUUGUUCCAUUCUGUUUCUCAUUUGUGAAUAAUAAUGGUAUCUUUAUGAAUAUGCAGUUUGUGGUUUCUUUUCUGAUUGCAGUUCUGAGCAUUUUGUUUUUGCUUCCGUUUACUAUACCACUUACAGUUUGCACUAAUUUAGUUGAUAUGCGAGCCAUCUGAUGUUUGAUGAUUCAAAUGGCGUUUAUGUAACUCGUACCCGAGUGGAUGGAGAAGAGCUCCAUUGCCGGUUUGUUUCAUGGGUGGCGGAGGGCAACUCCUGGGAAGGAACAAAAGAAAAACCGUGAUACGAGUUCAUGGGUGAGAGCUCCAGCUUGAUCCCUUCUCUGUCGAUCAAAUUUGAAUUUUUGGAUCACGGCAGGCUCACAAGAUAAUCCAAAGUAAAACAUAAUGAAUAGUACUUCUCAAUGAUCACUUAUUUUUAGCAAAUCAGCAAUUGUGCAUGUCAAAUGAUUUCGGUGUAAGAGAAAGAGUUGAUGAAUCAAAAUAUCUGUAGCUGGAUCAAGAAUCUGAGGCAGUUGUAUGUAUCAAUGAUCUUUCCGCUACAAUGAUGUUAGCUAUCCGAGUCAAAUUGUUGUAGAAUUGCAUACUUCGGCAUCACAUUCUGGAUGACAUAAUAAAUAGGAAGUCUUCAGAUCCCUAAAAAAUUGAGAGCUAAUAACAUUAGUCCUAGAUGUAACUGGGUGACAACCAAGAAAGAGACAUGCAAAUACUACUUUUGUUUGAAGGAGCAUCCCUGGUUUGACAUAUUUUUUCUGAAUAUCAAACUUUGAAACUCUACCUAGUCUAAUGUCUAACGACAGAUCUUACUGGUUUAACUGCAGUGAUAUCUACUAUCUUUUGGAAUGUUUUCUCCUUCAGUUAUACAUCAAGUUCCAAGAUGCAGGUGUGCUUGAUUGAUGUACAUGGCUGUGAGAAGUGCAUCCUGAUGUUCAGAUGAUGGUUCAUUCUAAUGUCUUUUCCUUCAAUCAGUUUUCUCAGUCUGACUUAGCUUGUUUCAUCUGCAUGUUUGAAUGUUCGUUUACUCAUAGUAAUUGCAUUUUUGUAGCAGAACAUAUCAUUGGUCAUGGUUUCAACUGUGCGCGAGUCUUAUGCUUAUUCAAACUAGGAAAGCCUCCGUCUAGAGGGUACACGAGUUGUUGCUCUGUGUGCGUCAGUCCAUAGUAUUAAUCUUGCUAGUUGUAGUAUAUUGUUUAUGUGGACUCGGAAUUCAUCAUAUGCUCCUUCUUUGCAUCAAGUAAGGCAAGGUAAUGUAUAGAAGCUUUUUAACUCUUUCAUGGAAGCUGGCCUUUGCCAGCAUACCAUCCAGAAGAUAUCAACCCUGCAUCUUGGCUGCCGUCUCCAUAGUGAUUUUUUGAACUGUUGCUGGUUGUAGAUAUCUUCUUGUGCCAGUCCCUUCUGUCCAUCGUUUUGUGUGUUGCUUCAUGAUCUGCCCUGUCCAAUCAAAACCUCAUGUAUUUUCUCAUGUUUCUGUUCAUUACAACUUGUGUGAUUCUGUGUUGUGGACAAGCAAAACGAUGCCAGACAACUUAUGAUUUUGUGCGUGUGUGGUUUCAAUCAGGUAAGCAGAAGACGGUAACCAGACAAUUUUUUCUUGGGAUAUAGGAGUUAAUGCCCGUUACUUUUCGGACAACCUUGAUCCAUAAGAACUACCAAAUCAAAAUUUCUGAAUCAUGACAAGAAAUAUAUUCUAGCAGAGCAUGACUCUGAUGGUUGUUAUCCCAGUAUGAAGUUGAUGCCACACUGUUAUUCAUGAUUGGACUGGAUCUUGCUAGGAAGCAAAGUUCUCUUCAAUUAUUCAUGUAGUGUUUAUCAAUCUGUUGAGGUGCAGCAUACCAGGGUCUUCCCUUACAGUUGGAGACGGACAAGUUAAUUGUUAACGGAGUGCUACUUUUCAUGGUAGAAUGUUGGACCGUUCUUUUUCCCUAUCCUUCUUAGUUAUGUUCCAUGAAACAAUGCUGUGUGAACUGAAACUGUGAACUGAAACCAACUCCAGAUUACUGUUCUCUUCCCGUAUUUCUCCUUUCAAGACUUGUUUUCGGUCUGACAUCACUAUUCAGUAUAGUGUCCUAAUACUUGCUCAACGAUUCCUCUAAUUUUUUUUUUCAUUUAGGAGAGAAGAAGACUACAUGGACAAUGAUGAGACAACUGGAAUGAUUGAUAGCUCUAUGUACCUCUGUUCUCUUCUUUGGUAUCAACUCCUGGACUUGGAAUAUUUUGUGAACUCAGCAGUACAUGAUGAGUGGAUGAAUUUAUGAUCAAUUUGUUACAAGGCAGACUACUGACUAGAAGUUCAACAAGAGAAGCAUAAAAAACUUAUGGUUUUCUAGUGACAAGUAAGAGGCAAUGUAGUUAUGAACACCUCAUCCAAUUUUCUUUUGGUACAUUUCAGGCAACAUGGAUGGAACGGAAAUUACCAAAUGAAGAAGUUCUGAAUAUAUUUGAGCAGAGUCUGAUGCGGAUGUAGUUAUCCUAGUAUGAAGAUGAUGGACAUUUGUGCCCGGAUUAGAGUGUACUAGUACUGCUGGAUCAAACUAGAGAGAUGCUAAUUAAUAUCUAUCAUGGAGUGCUUAAUUGCCUAUAGUGUAUUGAGGUUGUCCCUAUGAUCUUACCUGUCUCUCUACUUUAAGUAGCGGUUCACGUUUUUCAUGAAUAUCAGUGUUUUAUUGGCAAGAAUUAUAAGUUCAUUUUUAGUUGCAUUAGCAGAAGACAUUGUGUAGAUUGUUUUCACCUGAGAGCUCAACUCAACCCGUUCCUGUAUGGGUGCCACUUCUUUUUUCUCCACAUGGAGUAGAGCAGAAGUAUGUUGACAAUGAUUAGGCAAUUGGAAUAAAGAGGACAACACUAUGUACAUCUAUUUCCUUCUUUGGUAUCAACUCUACUGGGCUUCUGGUAGUCGCGCUUGCUACAUUCCUGGCUUUGUUAUUGAUUCAAUAAUGUUGUGGAGAUCCCAGCCUCUGGUAGUCGUGCUAGGUACUAUUUCAAUUCGUUGAUCUGUUUUUUCACUUAAGAUAUUUCACAUUGUCAAGUACAUGAAAACUGCAUGAAUUUAAUUUGUGAUCAAUUGCCACAAGGCAGACUUUAGGGACUGGAUGUACAAUCAAGGGAAGCAUUAUUAACUUACUGGCUGGCCUAGUAACAAGAAGUACAGGACCAUUUUAUACUGUAAUUACCACUGCUUAUAAUUUUCUUUGAGAUAGUUGAUGCUGCAUACGUUUCAGACAACUUUGAUCUGCAUGGAAUCACACAGAAAAAUUUCUGAAUUAUGAAGAGGAAUUUGAUGUGAACGAGGCUGAUAGCUAACUUAAUAAGAAGAUGAUGUUGGAUCCAGCUAGGUGAAGCACUACAUAGCAACUUUCAUAUGGCGUGUGUCAGUCUAUUGAGGUGCCAUCGGGUCUUCCCGGUCUCUCUUCCUUCAGAUUGAGGUUAGCCUAUUUUAUGGAUGCCAGUAGCUUUUUGGCAGGAACUUGAGCUAGAAUUAUGUCUCAGCAUUUGGAGAUGACUGGUUAAACUGCUUAUGCAGUGCUAUUUUUUCAAUGUAGGACUUUGGUUUGUUCCUUUUGCUCUUAUAUUUCUACACUAGAGUUUCAAGAACGACAUACAGGAGUGUGAUGGGAUAGAUAUACACUUCAUGGAGUGGAACCAACACAUUCUCUUCCCAUAUUUUUUUCCUUUCACAACUUGCUCUCGCUCUUAUGCUGCAAUUUCGUAUUUUUCCUUAAUUUUAAUUUCUCAGAAUGUGUAUUUCUUGCAGAAGGCCUCGUCUGGACUGUUUUACUCCUGUUAUGGUUGUGUAUAUCUUGCAGAAGGCCUCGUCUGGACUGUUUUACGCCUGUUAUGGUUACUCAAACAAGGCAACGGUGCCUCCUUUUAACUCAGUCAAAUCGUUUUCUGGUUUGCUUUCAAUCAGGUGAGCAGAGAACUGUUGACAAUGGAGAGAGACUCGGAGAAACGAGAGAGGGCCAUCUUAAGAUUUGAUUCAGUAACGUUGUGGAGCUCCCAGGUUGUAUCUUCAAGACUCAAGCUCUCAACUAUUCAAAUCUUUGAUCUAUUUUCCGUGUAGGAUAUUAUGCAGACUUCGGAUAUAUGUAGAUUUACAGGAAUCUCUAAUCAAUCACAGUGAAUUGUGUCGAGGCAGACUUUACAGACUGAAAGCCUGACAAGAGAAAAGCAGACUCACUAGUCUUCCAGUGACAGUUUGAAGGCUAUUUGAUAACGAGAACUGCUUGCCUUUUAGACAACCUUGAUCGUAAAUCAAAAUUUCUGGAUCUUGACGAGGUAUUUGAGCAGAAUGAAGCUCUGAUGGUACUUAUCCCAGUAUGAAGCUGAGGUCCUCGAUCCAGCUAGGGAAAGAUACUGUUAGCAACUAUUCAUGGUAUGUGUUCACAACUCGAGUCCCCCCAUCUCUUUUCGAGGCACAUUGGACCGCAGAAACUUAAGCUCUAUAUAAUAUCUCUCUGUUAAACAAUUUAGAGACAACUGGUUCACUGCUAACAUCACUAGUUGUCAAAGGCAUAACUUUGGAUUGGUCUUCUUUUCAUAUCCUUGAAAAAACUAGUUUCAAGAACCACAUACACCAGUUAUAAAAUCAAUAGUUUAUCAUUCUUUUUCUUUGAAGUCUAGUUUUCUAUCUGACAUUGCUCUCACCACAUUUUUUCUAUGUUGAUUCUCAUCUAUAAUUGUAUGUCUCUUGCAGGCAUCCUAUCUUGUUUUACAUAUGUUAUGGUUAUAUAUCUAAUAAAUCAAAGGCAAUCGCUACCUCCUAAAACUCAUUCAAGUUGUGAUAUUAGUUUUAUUAGCUGUACUUGAAGUUGAUGAAUUGUGAAUUGUAACUUCAAAUCCCUCUUUAGAUGUUGUGAAUGCUUAUCUAUAUAUAUAUAGAUGGGCGGCACCAAGAUUUUAACCUUUUUCGGUUCUAAAUUUUUGAACGGGCUACUUCAAAUGUUAAUAACUGAGUUCUAAAUUUAAUAUUUAUAUAUAUUUAAUAAUUUUUUAAUGUAAAUGCAUUAUUAAGCUAAAGCUAAUGGAUUUGACUAAUUUUAAGCUCGAACUUUUAGAAGUUCUAGCUCCGCUCUCGUAAAUAUAUGAUAACCUUGCUGAUGAACUAUUCAACAUUUUAUCAAAUAUUUAAAUAUGUGUUUUUUUUAAUAUAAAAAGAGUUAUUGUUUAUUUGUGAGUGGUUGGGUAUGAAACUUGUAAAACGGUAAUUCAACAGUAAAUUCAUAAUUGUAAUUCAAAUUAAGGACUUUAUAUAUCGAAUGAUACAAAAUUAUAUUUUGAAACGAAUCUAUCUUUUAUGGGCAAAAGUAGACUAACUCAAAAGUUCAAGGACUCAAAAGGUAAUUUUAACAGUCCCACGAGUCUACGCUGGUCCGUCACACAGAGUAUUGUAUCUCCCUUUGUUACUUUUUUUAGACCGACCUAACAAAAAAGUGGCAAAAGCAUAUCUUUAUUAGCUGAUUUCACAUUACAUUUUGCUUUUCUUUUCUUCUUCUUCUGUGUACUGACGACUUUUCUGUGCUUUGCUCAAAAGACUUAUCCGGAUUUUGGGGUCUGCUGUAUUGCUAUCGUCUUCAAUCUUUACCAACCCUAACCUUCGGAUCAGGUAAUAUCUUCAAUACCCACUUGUUUCUUUUGGUUGAUAAUCUGUAGAUCCGGCGUAUUAGGUUUGUUUUGUUUGACUGGUAGUUAUUUAUGUGAUAAAGAUCGGAUUUUUAUUUCAAGAAUUGGGGGAAUUUUGGGGAUUUUGGGAUAGAGAUGUUGAUUUAUGAUGGUCUUUGUGUUGGUUUUGCAUAGGUUGAUUAACUUCAGGGGUAUUUGUUACUGGAUAGAUGAGAAGAAUGAUCUAGUGUUUUGUGUAUGUGUUCUGGUUGUUCUAUUCUUGGUGUUGUGAGGCUUCUGGAAUGAUCUGGUUAUGUGAUCAUAUAUUUAUGAAAUUUAACAUUAAGGUUUUGAGUUUUUGGUGUCUUAUGAAGCUUUUGUAUUGGGUUGUUUUAUCUUUUUUUUUUUGGCCUGAUUGUGAUUGUAUUAUUUUUUAAGAAGUUUCUCUAGAGCUAUGAACUUUUUCUGAUGCAAGUUUAGGGCCUUUUGCUUUUGGGUUGUUUCCUGUUAUUUCUUGAGGAAUUGGAAUUAUUUAGGACUUUUGUAAUAGAGUUUUUCAUUUCUGAUUCUCAGUGAUAUUUUAUUUUGGGUUUGUGUUCUCUUGUUGAAUUCUAGUUGUAUAUUUGAAGGAUUUUGAUAUCACUUUGGAAUUUGUAUUGCUAUUUUUGUGCUUAUUAUAGUUAUCUGUUGAGUGGACUAAUAUGGUUGUUGGGGGAAUAAAGAUGUGUGUAGGACUACCUUUUCAAAUUCUGUUUUUGUGAAGGAUUUCUUUUUCUGAUGAAUAAGUUUCUGUAUUUGGUGCAUCUGGAAUGAAAGGAAUUAUAGAUGUUUUGAUGGGAUUUCAGUUCCUAACCACAUUCUUAAAUCUAAUUGUUUAGUCUUCUUAUAUGGUUGGUUUAGGCCUCUGUGGAAACUGUUGAUCUUUUUUUUUUGGGACUUCAGUUAUUUUGUAAAUUCUUGUACAGGAGCAGACCUCUCCUUUUUGCUGUAAUUUUUUGCUUACAUCUUUUUGAUGCCUUCUAACAAAUUGGGCUUUUACCAGUUCUUUUGCCUCCUGCUUCUCUUUAUACUAAAAACAUGUGUGGGUCAUCUCUUUCUAUUGUACAUAUGGCAUGCAAGAUGAUAAUGGAUUGCCUCUUUCUAUUGUACAUUCGACAUGCGAGAUGAUAAUGAUAUCUGUCUGAAUGUGUCUCUUGUGUAUUGUUUUGGUAAAAAGUAUUGGAAUUUUCUGCAGGACUUCUAUGUUGGUGCUGUACUGCAAAAACUGUCUGUAUCUGAUAUAUAGGCAAUCUUUUGUUGUGGUUUUUUCUUUUCCAACUCUGUUUGCUACUAAAGCCUUCUUUCAUCUGUUCAAGUUUAUUUCCUAUUUAGCUUUUGAGUUUCCUGCUUUUUGGAUAGGAUAUGCUGGUUUGUAUUGAUAAUCUGAUAUAACUGCUUGUCUACUGUAUAGGAUAUUUAGAUCAUCCCUUGUUAUUGUACGCGUGCAAGAUGAUAACAGUCUAUGUUGAUGGUUGUCACUGCUUGAGACGUGGAAUUUGACUCUUGUUUAUUAUUUUUUGUAAUAGCUGCUUUUUCAUCUGCCUAGGUCUGAGCAUCCAAGUUUCGAGAUCUGUGUGCUCCUGUUGUCUUCUACUCUCAGCCAAGUUUCAUGUCUGAUCUCGACGUCCAAAUUCCUACCGCUUUUGGUAUGGGGCCUCCUUAAAUCAUCUCCUCUUUUAGUGCAAUUUCGUGUAUCUCUCGUCUUAUAAUCAGAUCAGUAAAUCAGUUUCAGUUUAAUGUUAUAAAGUUUGGGUUCAUGUUCUAUUAAUGUAUAGUAAAAGUCUAGAUGCAAAAAAGGGAAAGGAUUGAGUAGAAAACAUGUUAAUUCAGAGGAUAUGAGUUAUAUCUUCUUUAUCUUCCAUGCCUGAAUAAUCUUGGUGCUUUAUCAUGCUAUGUAGAUCCCUUUGCUGAGGCAAAUGCUGAUAACUCUGGUGCUGGGUCAAAAGAUUACGUGCACAUCCGUAUACAACAAAGGAAUGGUAGGAAAAGCCUGACAACUGUGCAGGGGUUGAAGAAAGAAUUCAGCUAUAACAAGAUACUGAAGGAUCUCAAGAAAGAAUUCUGCUGCAAUGGUACUGUUGUCCAGGAUCCUGAACUAGGCCAGGUUUGUAACUUUUCUUUCUAGUGUCUGUCUCUGUAAUUCGAGUUCCAUGACUAAUCUAUGUGUUCUGUUGUUAUGAAGGUUAUUCAACUUCAGGGUGACCAGAGGAAGAACGUUUCUACCUUUCUUGUCCAGGUGAGUGUGGUGCAGAUUGAGCAUGUCUUUUUGCUCGUUCAAUAUUAAGUUAUAAUUAGAUGCUAAAAAAGCUUAUAAUUAUGUCAUGUAUUAAGAAUCAUCUUUUUAUUACACGUUUUGCGUUAACUUCUUCUGUCAAUCCAGAAUUGUAUCUUUUGAACUGAAGUGGGUUAGUAUUAGGCUGAGCUGUGCUCAUUAACAAUAAAAAAGCUCUUUUGGUUCAGUAAUCUUUUAGAUGGUGGGUCUUUACGUACUGGGAGUUACUUUGUUGAAGAUUCACUGGGCACUGGCAAGGGUGGGGAUUAUAGGACAGACAUUGACAAAUUAACAACUCUACUAAUUCUGUAGCUCUACUUAAUUGAUAAUUUGAUAUGUUGCGGAACUUUUAUCUUUUCAGUUGUUAUCUACUAUGUACUUUGUUGCUAAUUUUCUCCUUUUUGGAUUCGCGAAAGCAGGCUGGAAUCGUGAAGAAAGAGCACAUCAAAAUUCAUGGUUUCUGAUUGCUCUCAUCAGCCUCAGCUGCACAGAUAUUGUACUUGUUAUGUCAGUGCCAGAGAUAUGCUAUCCAAACUCAGUUCUACUAAGCUUGCUACUGUUUAAUUUCUUCUGGUUUGAUAUAAACACUAUAUUUGCUUCUCUAUGUUUGGUCUGAAUAUGAAUCGUGUUAUAUUUUCAAGCACUUCACAAACCAAUGAUAAUAUAACUGUGUGCUCAAAGGACGUGAACCUUGUCGUUUUGGAUUGUUGCUGAUCAUUUUAGAAUUUGCCGCAUGUGUAGCAGUACUAGUUCAUGUGCUUUAAUACCAGUUGAUAUUGUUUGGAAUCAUUCUCGAUUUGCUGGUUCUUGGAAUUCUACUGUUGGACUUCAGUACUGAAUGGUAGGUUAGGGGUCAUCCAAUCUUUAAACUUCGUUAGAUCUGUUUCUUUUGUCUAGUGCAGACUAGGCACAUCAUCGUCUGGAUACACUACAGAAGCCCAGUAUUUAAGUGAAGAUGAGUAGUACAGCUACUGAUUAAGAUUUGUUUCACUUUCUUACUAUGUUAGUCGUCGCAUGCAUGCUGCGAUUCUUGAUCUCUAGAUUUCAAGAUCCAUUGUGAGAUCUUCGUUCUUGCCAUCAUAGCAACUUCAGGUGCAUGUGCUUGCCAUUUUUGGGCGUCUUAGUUUUUUCAAUGGGAUAACUAAGUCACAUGUGGUGACUAAGUUAUAUCUCGAGAUAACUAGUUUUAGGGCGAGUAUUCUGGGAUAACUAGUUCUCGACCAAGCGAUCUAGUCAGGAAUCGAUAAGCUAAGUUUGCCGUUGUAGAUACCAUAAGGAAGGCUUCGUAUUUACAACAAUAAUGAGGACAUUUUUUCUACUUCACUAGGGGAUUUGACUCGGAAAGGAUAAUAUUCAAUGACACUUCCUAUCCUAUUUUUCCUUUCAAUUUUUAUUAUUUUAUGUGUUAGGGGGGUUGGGAUGCAAUUUUUAAAUAUUAAAUUAAAUUAUUUAUGUUCAACUUUUAGAUCGAUAAUUAAAUUCCGAUUUUUUGGGGUGUGUACACUCCUAUUUAUGUGUUCCUUUGGUCAAGUGGAUUUUCCUUUCCCUCCCUAUCAACAUCAUAGAAAUAGAUUUUUAUCUCCUAAAGAUACUCUCCAAAUAUUUUUGUACACCACCGGUUUGUUCAUAACUUUAAAUUGUUCGAUUAUUGCUAGAACUAAAAAACAAAAAUAGUGAGGCUCUUAAUUCUAAAAAUAAUAAUAGUGCUAACCACUAUCUUUAUAUCGAAGAGAAAAAUGAUGGUGAAAUUUAACGCUUGCGUCAGGAUUAAAAAAUUGACACCACAAAAUUGUUGUGUAGUCAAAUACUUUUAGAAAGCAACUGUUUUCACCAAAUGUAUUUAUUUUUAGAGACCUUGAAGGGGCACUUAUGAUCGGGGGAGGUUUGUAUGCAGGUUCAUAGAAAUUUAAAAUAUUUGCAAAAAUUAUCGUCAUAAAUAUUUGAAGUUGAAUUCGAUUAUUGUUAGAACCGUUUGGUAGAUUUGAAGAUGAGUUAUAUAGAUAAAAAUUUAUAUAUAUAAGUAGUACUUGUUCAGUAGAUGGUUAGAAAGGGUUUGCAAUUUUUGAAAUUAUGUAGAUGAUAUACGAGUAACCAAUACUAAUAAUAUAAUGAUUUACUUAUAACUAAUUAUUGUAUUAUCAAGUGUAACUCUAGCUUUAACCAGUGAUCGAACGAUCUUUGAUAACAUAAUCUUAAAAUAGCUACGACACAAUAAUGAAUUCAAUGUGAUUUUUGUGUAAGGACUGAAAAGGUGAAGUGUACGUAAACCUUAUUUCUAUCUUCUGAAUCUCGAACUUUCUUGAAAUUGCAUACAAUAUGAAUUUGUGUUUGAUUAUGAAAGAAAAAAACAAAUAGUAUUUGCCCCCAAUAGAUUUUGUUAAUGUGGUGGAAGGAGAUAUUUUUAUUUCUAAAAUAGCAAGUGUCUUUUUCACUUAUAACAACCUCACAAAAUGAUGAUCAAAGAAGGGCCAACUCAAAAAGUAUGAAAAGACUAGAAAGGACAACACAAUGACACCUAAAAAAAAUAAUGAAGCUAAUUUUGGACCAUUCAACAUGUCUAUAAAUCAAAUCCACGCUAUCACUUUCAAAAUCGAAAUUAAAAUUUUAAAUUUAUAAAUUUUAUCUUUGAAUAAUAAGCUUAUAACAUAUACGUCUUUUAUAAGUACGAUAUUUAAAUAAGAAUUUUAUUGGGCUCGUAAUUGAUAUUCUAGCAUAACUCUUGUCCUUGCGGCUUGCAUGAGAGGAUAUUCAAUAAUGUUGUAUGGAAAUUGAAAUAACCUACAUAUUAUAUUAAGGAAGCCAUAGCCAAAUUAAAUAGUUAUAAUAUUUGUUGUUCAUCACUAAUUAUCGAUCGUAGAGACAAUUUUUUUACCGAGUUAAUGUUCAAUAUUUAUUAUAUAAUGAUGUGAUUUUCCAAAGAUGCGAUUCAAAUGAAUCCUUUUAACCCCUGUCGUGCCACUUAUAAUAUGAAAACAUAUAUAUUGCAUCAAUUUGCAUGUUUGGUUUUGGAACUCUUUUUAAUCGGGACAACUUUUGAAUACCUCAAGAGAAUCGUGGAUGGUUGAUCACCAGCAUCGAUCAUCAUGGACGUAUAUAUAUAAUAAGAUAAAAAUGGUUUAAAUUAAUUGUUAUACACUUCUUUGUUUUUAUACGAUCUUCAAUAUUAUAAACUACUAAUAUUCUAGGACAGUAAUUUUUUAUUUAUUUAUAAUAUAUGGAAUUUAUAUAUAUAAUAAUAUAUAGGAUACUAAUAUAUAUUGGGUUUUCCUAGGACAAGAAAUUGUUAAAAAUCAAGAUAAAUAAUCCAAUUAAAACUGGGCCCUCUACUUUAAUACAUCAAAAGGCCCAAUAUUGCAAAACCACUUGCAGAAGAAGUGGGCCAGCCUUACUGUAUCAUUGAUUAAGACCCUUCAAAUCCUAUCCUUCUCAAAAUUAAAGUUUUUAUUUUUUUUAAAAAAGAAAAAAAAAUAUAUUUAGUGUAAUUUUACUAUUGAGGUCUACGGGGUUAAUAUGUAUGCACGGGUGGUGGUUCAUUACACAUCUUUCGUCAGAAAGUUAUGCGGUAUACAGAGGUGAAAUGUUAUAUAUUAUGAGUGUAUAUUUAAUUAUACACCAUAUUUUAAUUUUGAAUGUGUACAUGCUUUAUUCUUACGUUAGAGGUAUAGAGGUUGAUUUCAAUGAUCUCUCGGCUCAAAGAGAGAGUUUUGAUGCAAAAUUAUAAAAAAAAAAAACAAAAAAAAACCCAGUAAAAUAACAAGAUGUAAAUAAAAUGCAUCACUAUAUAGUAAUAUCCUUUUCGAAAUAAAGAAAAAAUUGUAUGCCUAUCUACGUGUCCACUAAUUGGGUUUCUAUCAAUUAUUAUUAUUACUUCCCUCCAUUUAUAUAUCUAAAUGAGUGACUCUUGUUUUAUAUAAUAAUAAAUUUAAAUUCAUACAUUCUAAAUAAAGGGAACAGAUUUUGAUAAAAAAAUAAUAUAUAUUUCCUCUAUCUUAGUUUAAGUAGUUGCUAAAAAGAAAAAAUUAUUUAUAAAAGAAAAUUGCUUUUUAUAUGGUGAGCUUUUAAUUUAUUUUGCAGAUAGUUAAAUUGUUUCUUAACAAAAUUGGAGAUUUUAAUUAUUUCUGAACUUUUGAACAUUAAAAAAGGUUUAGAACUUUUACUGGAGGAAUGUUAAUCAUUUUUCUUACUGUGGUUAUUAAAAUAAGUUAAUCUACAUUUUAAAACUAUGAACACAAUAAUUAUUCUUUUGUUACAUUUUGUGUGAUACUAAAUUUCUUUCUAAAAAUAUAUUAGUUUAAAACAUUAAACUAUCAUUGAAGUGAAGUUCUUAUAAUCGCAUAUAUAUUACUACAGGCUCAAAAUUAUAUAUAUAUUUUUAAAAAUCAGGUGAAAUACAUAGCUUUAAAUUUAUAGUUAAUUUUAUAGCUAACCAUGAUUAAUGAUAUAAUCAAGGGAAAAAAGUCUGAAAAAUAUUUUAAUUUUGGUCGAAAUUAUUGUUGCGAUAUCAGAUAUUAUAGAGGAUCUUUUACUCCUGCACUAUUUCAUCGUAUAUAUGUGCCCACAUGUACACAUUGCUAUUUAUAAUUAUGCAAUAUUUCUACGUCCACGUAGACACAUAUAAACCUUCAAAAUAAAUUAUUGAAUAGUGUAAGGGUAAAAGAUCAUAUACAAAAUUUUGUAUCGUUAUAUCAUUUUUUAUCAAAGUUUGAAUAUAUUUCAGACAUUUUCUCAUAAUCAAAGUAUAUAUAUAUAUAUUUGAUAAUUCAUUUACGUAAUAUGUACAUGAGAACACACACAUAGAAGACAGAUAAAUAAAAUUUGAAUUUAUUUCGACGAACAAUCAUGUCUUCCAACUUUGCAUGUGCACGAGUAGAUACCUAAAUUCAUAUAAAAUUCACAAGUAGACGCACAUAAUAUAUAUGACAUAAUACAGAUAAGAUAUCAUGUAGAAAGAACGUGUCAAUUUGUUUAAUUUAAUAUAAAGUUAAGCGUCUACUUAUGACUAAUAUUUCGUCAAAUUUUAGUAAAAUAGAUAUUUUAUUGAUAUAUAAUAUAAUAUAAUUUAAUAACUAAAUAAAAUAUCGCUAUAAAUUUUAAGGUCGGAGUAGUGCAUGCUUUACAAGUGUUACUUACACUGUAACAUUGCCAGAUAUUUUUCUCAUCACUCAGCUCUACACUUGUCACUCCCCUAUAUAUAUCCUUCUUCUUCCCCUUCCAUUUCCACACUCAAAACUCAAAACACAAUCUUCUCCGCCCUAAAUCCCAGUUCUCAAUUCUUCUCCAUCAAUGGCUUCCACCUUAGCUUCCUCUGUUAUUUCCAAGACUAAUUUCAUUGACACACACAAAUCAUCCUUCUAUGGCGUUCCAAUUUCAUCACAAACUCGAUUGAAAAUCGUUAAAUCGACUCCACAAAACAUGUCUGUUUCCAUGUCUGCUGAUGCUUCUCCUCCUUACGAUCUCGGAAGUUUCAGUUUUAAUCCGAUUAAGGAAUCGAUUGUUGCUCGCGAAAUGACUCGGAGGUAUAUGACGGAUAUGAUUACUUAUGCUGAUACUGAUGUUGUCAUUGUUGGUGCUGGAUCUGCUGGUUUAUCUUGUGCUUAUGAACUCAGCAAGAACCCUAAUGUUCAGGUAUAACUUCUUUUUUUUUUUUAAAUUAUUAAUACCGAGUUCUUAUAGCGUUUUUGAAUUAACAUACAAUAAAAAUUGGGUUUAUCGUUGAUACUAGACUUUUAUCUGCAAUUCGAAUUCGAUCUAGAUUUGAUAUAUGAUAAAUCAAGGCUCAGGUGACUUGUUCUGGCCUCGAUUGUAUCCCUCUCUUGCAAAUUCACGUGAUACUGAUUGACUUGACAUCACGAAUUUUGAAUUUUAUCGGCUCAAAAGAAAACACAGGUUUCCUGUUAAAAGUAUUUUACAACUUUACUUUUACUCAUAAAUCAUGUGAUACUUUUGUCCUUAGCCUAAUUUGCUAGUAUUAAUUUGAGUGGGGCAAUUCACACGUAACACACCAUUCGCGAUCACAAUGAACUCAUUUGAUGUUCUGAUAGCUAUAAUUUUGGUAGAUUACAAUAUCUAUGUUCUUCAAUUUGUUGUUUAUGUGAAUUUACUUUAUAUGUAUAGGUGGCUAUUCUUGAGCAAUCUGUGAGCCCUGGUGGAGGUGCUUGGCUAGGUGGACAACUCUUCUCUGCUAUGGUUGUGCGUAAGCCAGCACAUCUUUUCUUGAACGAGCUAGGCAUUGACUACGACGAGCAAGACAACUACGUGGUCAUCAAACACGCUGCCUUGUUCACCUCAACCAUCAUGAGCAAGCUUUUGGCCAGGCCAAAUGUGAAGCUCUUCAAUGCUGUUGCAACAGAGGACCUUAUCGUGAAGAACGGAAGAGUCGGUGGUGUUGUCACUAACUGGUCUUUGGUUUCCCAGAACCACGACACACAAUCCUGCAUGGACCCUAAUGUUAUGGAGGCUAAGAUUGUGGUCAGCUCUUGUGGCCACGACGGCCCCAUGGGCGCCACCGGUGUUAAGAGGCUCAGGAGCAUUGGCAUGAUCAACAGUGUCCCUGGAAUGAAAGCUUUGGACAUGAACGCUGCUGAGGACGCGAUUGUUAGACUUACCAGAGAGGUCGUACCUGGUAUGAUUGUCACAGGAAUGGAAGUUGCUGAAAUUGAUGGAGCACCACGAAUGGUUAGUAUGAAAUACUUGAACUCCUAUAUUGUAUAAACUCAUAAUUAGAAGUUAGAAAAGCAACAAACAAUUCAACUAAUUGGAGAUGUUAUACAUUGUACAGGGUCCAACUUUUGGAGCUAUGAUGAUAUCAGGACAGAAGGCAGCUCACCUCGCCCUACGAGCGUUGGGAUUGCCCAACGCCCUUGAUGGAACUGCAGAAACAAGCGUCCUCCCGGAGCUUAUGUUGGCUGCAGCUGAUGAAGCUGAAAUUGCUGAUGCUUGAAUGUAAUUAUAGUUUUCUAAGCAAGGAUUAUGAGAAAUAUUAGUUUUUCCUAGAUAAGUGAGUAUGGUUGUGGUGGUGAUGAUAAAUUGGUAAGGGGAUGAUGAAUAAGAGUCUUCAAGAUGAAAGUCAUUGUGUUAACUUUGGCUAUUUUAUUUUGAUUUAUUUCUAUUUCGAAACUUUUAUGGAAGAAAGUAGAUUUUAGUUUUGGUCGUUCCUUGAAUAAUCUUUUAGGCCUUUUGGGCUUUGUACUUGAUAUGGUUUGGGCCUCAUUGGAGAAGCCAUAUGAAUGAACAUUGUGAUUGGGCUAAGAUGUUUUUGCACUAAUGGCCUUUUGAGGAUUUACAUCCAAUUACUUUCAAAUGCAAAAUUUAGUUGAUUUGAUUUCGAUGGAGUUUGUGGAGGGUAAAGAGUACGAAGACUUUAUCACUACUUUGUGGAGAUAGAAAAGCUAUUUUUGAGAGACUUUCAGCUCAAAAUACUUAAAUCACGAUGGUUAAGAGCUAAUUACAUUAUUUUUCUAUUCUAUUUUAAAUAACGAAAACUCCUUGAAAUUUAUAAAUUUUCGAUUCAUUUUUAGACUUUUGGAUAUAUCAUCGGACUUUUCGAUGCAUUAGUAGAUAUUCGAAUACAUAUGUGAUGGAUGUAUCAAAGAGGGGAAAGACAUCUGGAUACAUGACUAGACUUCCGGAUAUGUCAACAAACAUCUGGAACAUAGAUAAGGAAUGUAUCAGAGAGGACAGAAAUAUAUUCGAGAGGGGAUAUGAAUGUAUCAACAAAAGGAGAGUGAUGUAUCAGGAGAUAUUUGAUUUUUUUUAAAUAAUAAAAAAUUGCAGAAAUUAUAUCAAAAUAAAAUGUUUAUUUAGAUCAUUUUUCUAAUAUUUAUUGGUAGAAGUUGCACAUUGAAGAACUGGAAAAGAUAUUUAAGAAAUUGAAAUCGAAGAUAAUUUAUCAUCAUGAAUAAUGAUGUUGAAUGAAAUGAAAAAUGAUAAUAGAGUUGUUAUUGGGAUAUAAUGGUAUAGCCUUAGUACUCGAAAGUUUUAAAUAUACAUAAUAAGAGAAAAAACAUAAAGUGAUUCUUGAUAUUAUUUUAUAUUUUAAAAAAGACAUUUUAAUUUGGGGCGUGCUAUUAACCUCUAAAUAAUUUCAAAUAUAUAUUAUUACAUCAUUUCGAUCAAUUUCAGAUUUUAAAUACAAAUACGAUCACACCCCAAUCAUUGCGUGUCACAUGGUAAUUAAAUUUGAAAUACUAUUUAUUUCAUGUUAAGUUUUUCUUUAUUUUUCUCUCUUACCUUUUUGACUUAUUUAACUUUACUAGUUUAAUUUUAAUUUCAUUUUAAAUACUAUUUCAUCUCCCAUCCUAACCUCACCCUACCCCCACGUCAAGUGACACCUCCAUUUUUUUCUUCUUCUAUCAAAUUUCUUUCUUUUUAAAACGAUACUAUUUACUAGAUUUUUUUGAGUUAUUGAUAACAAAAAUAAUGUGUUUUCUAAGAAAAAUCAAAGUUGAAGAUAUCAUCAAUUAAUUUAUCUAUUUGAAAGAAUUAGAAAAAGAAAAAGUUUAAUUAAAAUUUGGAUAAAAUAAAUUAAAUAAUACCUAUUAAUUUAUCAUCUUGAAAUCUAAUAGUUUAUCGAAUUGUUCCAAAUGUAAUAAAAUAAUUAGAUAUUAUUUUAAAAUUGAAGAGAGUUAAACUUCUAUAGUAAAACAUGGAGGUGAAGUUGUGGUAAAAAGUGACAUUGAAAGUGAGAAAUUUCAAUGAAGAUGACAAUGAAUUUUUGAAGAAGAAGGAAAAAAGAAAAAGAAAAAAUAAUGAGAAAAAAUUAAAAUAAUAAGAAAAACAAGAAAAUAUAUUUUACAACAAAAUACAUGUAAAAAUAAAAUUAUAUUCGUUUUUUAGUUUGUUCACGCUUUUUAGGAGGGUGCAUACACUCUCCAUGCAAAGUGGACAAAAAUGUUGUAAUAAUAUGUCUAGAAUUUUUUAGUAGGGGUGUGCAUUCGGUUUCUAUACUAUUCGGUUUGAAUUUUUGAUUUUUGGUUUUGAAGAAGUGUAACCCAAUCCAAACCAAAAUAAAUUUGGUUUGAUUUAAUUUCUCUCUCUUUUUUUUUUUCGAUUUCAUUAAUCAGUUAUGUCAAUAAUUAGAAACAUAACCAAAUUUUGUAUAUGCUUACUCUAUCUAUUUGUAUACGAUUUUAUGAAAAAUUCAUAAUAAAUUAUCCUUUUCGUAUAUUGGCAAAGGAAAAAAUAACGGAGUUCUGAAAAAUUCUUAAAUGUACAUAAUAUGCAUAUACUUACCCGACCUCUUUAGCAAAUGGAAUUAUAGCUAUGAAAUACAAUUAUUGAAACUAUAGCUAUAAAGUCUUAUUAUGUCUAUUAUGUUUGUUAUUUCUAAAAUAUUCUCAAUAUAUAUUGAGUAUACAUUUAACUAUUUAAUUUCAAUCAACUCAAAAAUUAUCUUAAAUAAUCUCAAAAUUUAAAUAUGAAAUUUUCUUGAUAUCUCGAAUUAGUGAUAGUUAACUCUAAACAACUGAAAACUGACACAACGAUGAUAACGAAGGUGGAGAAAAAAUUGGCAAUUUUUUUUGUAAUCAAAUUUACCUUAUGAGUAUUACCUUUGUCAAGGUGAUAAUUACUGAUCUUUUAUGUAACCAAUCACAAUAUAUUUUGGUACAUUGAAAACUAAACAAAAUUUUUGUUUGAUUAGUUACUUGACUUAAUUUUGGGAGGAAAAUAAAUUUCACACGUCUUCUUAAAAUAAUAACAUAUCUAAAAUUCAAUAAUGAUUUCCCUUUUUUAGAUAUAUAUGUUUUAAUAAAUAUUUAUCGUCUUAAAUAAUAAUUUUAAGAAGAUAACAUUAUAUGUCCACUUUGAUAAGCUACAUGACUUAAGUUUAGGAGGAAAAUAAAUUUCACCCGUCUUCUUAAAUUAAGAUAUCAAAAAUUUCAUAAUUAUAUGCCUUAUGUUUCAUUAAAUUAAUAUCGGAAAAAAGUUCAAAAUUUCAGAGACACAUCUUAAUUAAACUAAGGUUCUAUUUACCUCUGAAUUCAUUUUUUUUUGUAAUUUUAUGCACCUUUUUAAGCAUAGGUGGAAUCUAAAUAUCGCCCACGUGCCUCAAUUGCGUGGAGUCGUCACAGACUAUGCCACGUAAGACCAAAAGUGUAUAAAGUUACAAAAAAAUAAAUUCAGGGAUAAUAGGACCUUAAUUUAGUCAAAAUGUGUCUAUGAAAUUUCGAUUAUAAUCUAGGAUAUUGAUGCAUUAUCCUAUUAAUAUUUAUCGUCUUAAAUAAUAAUUCUAAGAAAAUGACGCUGUAUAUUCUCCUCUUUAAUAAGCUAGAUAACAUAUAGACAAUUUGUUUCUACUUCAAACAAUUCUAAUGAUUGGCCAUUUCAACAACUUUUUGUUCUUCUUCAUUCUUUAACUUCUGCAUGAAAUUAGUUAACAGAGAUGAAGAAGUAUUGUGCCUAAAGAAAAGGAAGAGUUUGUUGACUGAAAUAAUUAUGAGUACUUUUAUGCUAUAUUAUUAAUGUAGAUGAAGAUCAAUGGUCAAACCAUUAAGUUGGAAAUCGAUUGAUCUUUUUAAUUUUUGACUAUGUUUUUAAAAAUAAUUUUAUUCUUUUUAUAAUUAUGAGUAUUUUUUACUGCGAUAUUAUUAAUGUAGAAUGGAUAAUUGCUUUACAAAUAUAUAAAGGAUAAAGGGUAAUUCAACUUUUGAUUUGAGUUCUUUUCACGUAUCAUAUAAUUAGUUUUUUAACACGUGCGUUGCACGUGAUUACUGAUUUCGAAAAUAUAUGUGUAUAUAUAUUUAUAUUUCAAUUUGAUGAGGUUCAACCAUGUGAUUAGACAAUAUUUGCUUUGUAUUGUUCUUGUUAUGUAACUAGAUGUGCUUUGCAUGUGUAUUCCACGUCAAAUUCUUUAGAUGUCAUAUGAACAUGUGAAGAGAGCAUCUACAUUUUAUAUAUUCACAUAUUUUUAUAUUUGUUGUGAGUUUUUUUUUUAUAAAAAGAAAUUGAAACAUUUUAAAAUAAUAUAUUUUGAAGUUAGAAAAUCUUGUUGCCUUGGUUAUACAUUUGUGACGUAUUAAAAUACUUUAAUUUAAAUGCAAAUACCUACUCAAAAAUAAAUAUAUAUUUGCCUUAAUGAAAAUAUUUAUAUCAUAAAAUUAACUAUUAAAUAAAGGGAUAAUGCACAAGUACCUCCUUAACCUAUGCCCGAAAUCUCAGAGACACACUUAUAUUAUACUAAGGUCAUAUUUCCCCCUCAACUUAUUUUAUUAAUAAUUUUCUAUCCCUUUUCGGUCUACGUGACACUAUCUUGUGGGUCGAACGAUAAUUGACUUUUUUCUUCAAGCUAGAUUUAAAAAUAUGUGGUUGAAAAAUGAGAGGAACCCCUUUAUUUAUAGUCAACAAAGAGUAGUAUGAACAAAUGUUUUUUGUGUCUUAUCUGAAAAGUCACGACCUUUUCUAGAAGUCACAACCUUUCGAAAAGUCACAACUUAUUGAAAAAGUCACAACUUAUUGAAAAAGUUACAAAUCUUUCAAAAAGUCAUAACUCAUUGAAAAAUCACAACCCUUUGAAAAAAGUCACAACUUAUCGAAAAGUCACAACACAUCGAAAAAGUCAUAACCUAAGUAAGUUAUAAUAAUUUAACAUUCAAGUUAGAAAUUCAUACUUUUUAAGGUAAUAUAAUCAUAUAUUACUAAAAGCAUGAACAUAAAAGUUGAAAGUUGAAUUACGGUUUUACCCCUUCUAUAAAUUAAAUUGUUAUAAAAUAUUUAAAUAUUGUUAUAAAUUCAUAGAAUGAGUGGAUAGUCCAUAAGGUUGGUACAUGAACAACCAUUCAUAUUCACUAGGUUACAUGAACCUUUUUGGAUAAGAAUGUAUCUAUUUAUUAUGAUAUUUAAUAUGGUGACCUUUGGAGUGAUUUCUCACUCUAUAAAUAGGGUUGUUCAUUCACUAUUGUAAUAGAUACAGAUGACACUUAAAUACACUUGAAUAAGAAGAAAAUUCCCCUUCUUCUAUCUACUUCUCUUGUCUUCUUCUCUUUAUGAUUAUAUUCUUAUGAGCUUGAUUUUAUAAUAAAUAUUUGAUUGUAUAAAUUUAAUUAAAUGUUAAUGACUUUUAGACUUCCAAAGAUUAAUUCCUAAUUAAGUAUCUAAUCUAUUAAUAUUUAUCAUCUAUAAUCUAUAUGUAUAUAAUAAAUAUAAUUUUUUAAAGAAAAAAUCUUUACCUAAAUUUCUUUACUUUUCCUCUUCUAAUUACUUUUUCCUUAACCCCUCUCAUGAAUAAUAAUUCAUAUGAUUGAUGUGGAUAAAAUAUUAUCCUUUAUGAUAAAUAACGAAAUUUAAUAAUUUAAAGGGUGCAAAUCUACAAAAUGGAGACGCACAUUGAUAAUGUCCUCUUGAUUAUUAUUAAAGAAUGACUCUAGCUUCACAAAUUUAAAUUCAUUAAUGCUUAAUUACAUGAUAAGAAUUUUAGUUGUUCUUUCUACAUUGUUUGCUAACUUUAAUUUCUUUUCAUAUUCUUCAUUUAUUUAUUAUUAUAUUCUAAUUACUUAUUUAACUUUUAUACUCUUAAUAUUCAUAACUCUCAUCUUUUAAUAUUCAUAACCUCCAAAUAUUUAAACUAAAACUUUAAGAUAUCUUUUGAUAUUCUUUCUAUUUUAUUUAUAUAAAUUCAACUUCUUUAUCUCAUGAAACCCCUAAUAAGAUUAUUAGGCUAUUAUUUUUAUUUUAUAGUAAAAGUAGAUGAUGAAGACUCUUGAAUUUCGAUAGGAUAUGAAAGGAGUCGAUAAGAACUCAGAAAGUUAUGUACUAAUUUUAUACUUAUUUUUUCACCUAUAUAUACAUCAAUCUUAUUAGAAUAAUGUCUAUAUUGUAUUUUUUUCUUAAAUAUUCUGUUUUUUUUGUCUUUUUUUAAAUUAUAAAAUUGACUAAAAGUGCAUAAAGUAAAAAUAACUAUCACACAAAUUCAAUAUUCCAAUAAAGAUAUUAAAAUACAACAUGAUAAGUUAAUGUAUACAAAGCACCAGGCCAUAGUAAAUUAUCAAUAAUAAUAACACAACAAUAGAAAGUAUGUUGUACAAUAACAACAAGCAAGAAACAUAAAUGUUAAACUAAAUAAAUAAAAAGAGACAAGAAAAGAGAGCAUAGAGAUUUUCUCAUUUUUUUAAAUUGGUUUAAGUCUAUAUAUUAUUGUGUGAAAUGUCACUAUUUAUUAUUGGAUAACAUUGAAAAAUACAAAGAGUUGUCAUAAAUAAAUAUUAAUCUAUUUGAGAUUAUCGAUGAGAAAUGAGAGUAAUGAACAUAAUAAAUAUAAUUAGUGAGAGUCACGUACAUUUACAAGUUGAUGGUAAGUUAUAUAUACUAAUAUGAUAAUUUACUAUUUACUAUAUUAAUAUUAAUAUUUAAUUUAUUAAACAAUUUAUAAAAUUUAAAUGUACAGUGCAAAUAAAACUGUAAUCUAAGAAAAAAAUAUAUAAAAGAAUUCAAAUAUACUAAAUCUGUAAUGGAAAAUCAUUAUGACUAAGUAUUAAAAAAUCAAAUACAUUCUUAAAAUAAAAUUACAAAUUCAAAAAAAAAAUCAAAUAUGGAAGCAAGUUUAGCAUAAGACUACCAACGAAAAUGCAAAUUGAUAAUGUAAAUUGAAGACAUUCCUUUCCCUAUUUUUAAGACAUUCAUUUCCCUGUUUUUUAUUGAUAAUGCAAAUUGAAAAAAAAGCUAUUGUAAUAAACAUUCAACCUUUGACCAUAAAAAAAGGUUAAAUGUUUUGGAAGAGAAGUUAACGAAAACGACAUUCAACUACAUAAAUGGAGGGGUCUUAUCAUAGUUCUAAUCUCGGCAAAUUACAAAAACAAAUACAUCAAACUCCGCUAUUAUAGUAAUUGAAGUGUUAUUCAUCCCUAUAAUCACAUUACGCCUUGUAAUCUUGACAGAAAUCCUCAAAAUUUUCUUUACUUGAUUAAAGCUUCUCUAGUCUUCUACACACAAAAAAUGUAUCAUGUUUAAAUCUUUCUAUGAAAAUACUAUUAAAAAAAUUUCAUAGUAUAGGGAAAAAAUAUAAUUUUGGAAUAUGAAGAUUCACUUACAAAGUUGAAAGGUCAAGUAUUAUUACAAAUUAAAGACAAAUAUUAAUUAAAAAUAUAAAUUAAUUUGGAAGAUGAAACACAUACAUGUAUCUAUUCAAAGGAAUAACUCUUAUUUUUAAUUUUUGUUCUAUUGAAUUUACUCAUAUGUGUAUACCAAUUAAAUAAAAAUAUUAUAGAAAUUCUACUAUUUACUAUUUAAUUAUUUAUUUAAUAACAUUUGAAUUUAGCAUAAGGGUAAAAUUGUAAUUCAACUUUUCUACUUUGAAGCUUCCCACUUAUAAUAAUAUAUGAUUGUUACAUUUUAUUAUUCAUUACAAUUUAUAUAUAUAUUUCCAUGAGAUUUUAGUUAUUCUAACGUAUCUAUAAAAAUUCACAUGAAACACACGUGUAAAGCACGUCCUUAGAAACUAGUAUAUAGAAAUAUAGAUAUGAUACGAUGCUAUUAAGGUAAUUUCUUCCACCAUUUACUGGGAGGGUAAAUCACCAAGGGAUAUGAUAAAGAUGAAUUGGAUUUAAUUUUAAUCAAAGAUUUCUAAGUCCAAUUCUAUUAAUGAAAUAAUUACCCCUUUUUAAACAUAGCCUAAAUACAUUUAAAUCCCUUAAAUUUCAUUUAGACAUUCAAAUUAUGAUAUGUUACAAAUUUGAACGCGGUCGGUGGUCCUAAAAUACACUUUCAACUCAAAUUUUGAAAAAAACUUUUACGAGUAUUUUCAAGCGUCUAUUAUUAUCUAGGUUAAAGUUUGACCGCAUAAAAUACGUCAUGCCUCAUAUUAUAUAAACAAAGUAUUAUAGUAAGUGAAAGUGUAUCAAAACACUCAACACACAUAGUUUGCAAACUUCUAAAAUGGCUAAUCCUCAACAACCUUUGUUAAUAAAAACACACAAACAAAAUCCAAUAAUCAGCUUCAAGAUCCUCAGUUUUGUUAUAACUUUGUUUGUUGCUCUCUUCUUAGUUGCUCCAUAUCAAGUUGAGAUUAAACAUUCUAAUCUAUGUAAAACUGCACAAGAUUCCCAACUCUGUCUCAGUUAUGUCUCUGAUUUGAUAUCCAAUGAAAUUGUCACAACAGAAUCAGAUGGACAUAGUAUUCUGAUGAAAUUUUUAGUUAACUAUGUCCAUCAAAUGAACAAUGCAAUUCCAGUGGUUCGCAAAAUGAAGAAUCAGAUCAAUGACAUUCGUCAACACGGGGCUUUAACUGAUUGUCUUGAGCUUCUUGAUCAGUCAGUUGAUUUCGCAUCUGAUUCAAUUGCAGCAAUUGAUAAAAGAAGUCGCUCGGAGCAUGCCAAUGCGCAAAGUUGGCUAAGUGGUGUGCUUACUAACCACGUUACGUGCUUGGAUGAGCUUGAUUCCUUUACUAAAGCUAUGAUAAAUGGAACGAAUCUUGAAGAGUUGAUCUCGAGAGCUAAGGUAGCAUUAGCGAUGCUUGCGUCUUUGACAACUCAGGAUGAGGAUGUUUUCAUGACGGUUUUAGGAAAAAUGCCAUCUUGGGUGAGUUCGAUGGAUAGGAAGCUGAUGGAGAGUUCGGGUAAGGACAUUAUAGCGAAUGCAGUGGUGGCACAAGAUGGAACGGGGGAUUAUCAAACACUUGCUGAAGCAGUUGCUGCAGCACCAGAUAAGAGUAAGACGCGUUAUGUAAUUUAUGUAAAGAGGGGAACUUAUAAAGAGAAUGUUGAGGUGGCUAGCAAUAAAAUGAACUUGAUGAUUGUUGGUGAUGGAAUGUAUGCUACGACCAUUACUGGUAGCCUUAAUGUUGUCGAUGGAUCAACAACCUUCCGCUCUGCCACUCUUGGUAUGCUUUCAAUAACUUAUGUAUAUAUAGUAGAUGUUGAACCCUUUAGCCUCUUCGUUAUGUAUACUUUUGAUAUUUCAAACCCCCUUACUAAAAAUUCUGGCUCCGCCAUCAUGAGCUAGGAUGGUAUUAUUUGUAUUUCAUAUUUGAUUAAUGAACAAGAGUAACAUAUACUAGUGCAUUUUCAUCAUAUUGCAGCUGCAGUCGGCCAAGGAUUUAUACUACAGGACAUAUGUAUACAGAACACAGCAGGGCCAGCGAAAGACCAAGCAGUGGCACUUCGAGUUGGAGCUGAUAUGUCUGUCAUAAAUCGUUGUCGUAUCGAUGCUUAUCAAGACACCCUUUAUGCACAUUCUCAAAGGCAAUUCUAUCGAGACUCCUACGUGACAGGUACUUGUGAAGUAGAUUACCUCAAAUGUGCUAUACUCUCUAUUGAACUCGGUAUUAAAAAGUUUAAAUCUUGAAUCCGUCUCUGCAGGUACUGUUGAUUUCAUAUUUGGUAAUGCAGCAGUUGUAUUCCAGAAAUGCCAGCUCGUAGCUAGAAAACCGGGUAAAUACCAGCAAAACAUGGUGACUGCACAAGGCAGGACGGACCCAAAUCAGGCCACGGGGACAUCAAUUCAGUUCUGUAACAUAAUAGCAAGUUCGGACCUAGAACCAGUCCUGAAAGAAUUCCCAACAUAUCUUGGUAGGCCAUGGAAAGAAUAUUCAAGAACUGUAGUGAUGGAAUCAUACUUAGGUGGUCUCAUUAAUCCAGCGGGUUGGGCUGAGUGGGACGGAGAUUUUGCGUUGAAGACAUUGUAUUAUGGUGAAUUUAUGAACAAUGGACCUGGUGCUGGUACUAGUAAGCGUGUCAAGUGGCCUGGUUAUCAUGUCAUUACUGAUCCCGCUAAAGCUAUGCCGUUCACUGUGGCUAAGCUGAUUCAGGGCGGAUCAUGGUUGAGGUCUACUGGCGUGGCGUAUGUGGAUGGAUUAUAUGAUUAGAGUAUAUAUAUGAUGUGCCACAUGAGCAGGGCAGAGCAAGCAUAACACACAACUCUAGUGUGACAAGCAUUUACAUGGCUCAUUCGUUACUACUAAGUUGUCAAUAAGUUCUGUUUAGGGGUUCAUAAGUUUAUAUACGUAUAUACAUUUACAUUGGUGAUGAAGCUGAAACUGAUGAUGCUUUAAUGUAAUUAUAGUUUUCUGAAAAAGGAUAUGAGUAAUAUUAGUUUUUCCCAGAUGUGUAUGGUUGUGGAACUGUUUAUGCUUAAAUUGGCAAGGGGUAUUGAAUAAAAAUCUAUUGUGUUACCUUUUGGCUGUUUCAUAUUUAUUCUUUUUUUUUUUUGAUCUAUUUUGAUUUCAUAGUUGGAAAAUUACGUGAUUAAUCAUACUUAUAGUAGUUAAUUACCUAACAUGGCUACAAUUUGUAUUAAUUACAAUUCGAAACUUACUUCUAGCUAUAAUUGCAUUCCCAUCUCUCUCUCCCUCUCUCAAGAAUCUCGCUCACAACUCUUUUUUUUUGAGUCAUAUAUCCUUGCAAGUCUCUCUCGGUUCUCUUCUAUCAGUGUCUCUUUUACUUUAUACAAGCAAAAAUUAUACAAAUAUAUAAUUUUUGUUCGUGUUUGUAUUAAGUGAGAGAGAGACCGGAUAUGCAAAUACAAAAUAUAUCUCUUUGCCCUAUACACUUGUAUUUUUUAUACAAAUACAAUUCUCUCCCUGCCUAGUUCUCUCUCUCUCUCUCUCUUUUUCUUUCUCUCUCGCUUUAUACAAACACAAAUUACAUCAUUGAUACAUAUACAUAGUAGUAUACAAAUACAAUUUAUCUCACUCCACUUCCGCCCACUCUAGCUCAUCUCUCUCCUGCCUUUCUCAAUCUCGCACGCCACUCUCCUUUCUCUAACAUGUAGCUACAAAUAGUAAUUAGCAUAUUAUAGUUAUGAAGCAUAAUUAAAUUGUUUUUGAGUAGCUAUAUGUGAAAAUUCUUAAUUUUUGAGUGGCUAGCUAUAAAUCUUUUCUAAUUUUUUGUUCAAAUAUUCGAUCAAAGUUGAUGAUAAUUUGAAUAUUAGCAAAUUUAAGAAAAUAUCAAUAUAUUUUGCCUAAAGUUUAUUGCCAUACAAAUAUAAUCACAUAACAAAGAAUUAAUACAUAAUUAACUUAUUGUGAAAUGAGGUCUUGGGCCUAACUCACAUCCUAAAAGCUAGCUCAAAUUAGUAUAAAAUUUUUGUUAUUCUUUAACUACGUCACCUUGCACCCGUUGCCUAACAUCUAGUGCAUAGACAAUUUAAUUUUGGGGCCCGAACAUUGAGUGAGAUUGACCGACUUUGAUAUCAUGUGAAAUUAGAUUUUGAGCUCAGCUUACACCUCAAAAAUUAGCUUAAAGGGAGGAAGAUUGUCCAAAUCUUAUAAGGACUUCACCAUCUCAAUAACCACUAGUGUGGAUUUUUGUCAUUUUUUAACAAUUCUUAUCAACAUAUCCGAAAUAAGCAAUAUUGCAAUGCAAUAUAGCUAUGGGGCGUAAUUAUUGAAACUAUAACUAUAAAGCCUUAUUAUGUUUAGUAUAUUUGUUGUUUCUCAAUAUACACCGAGUAUACAUGAAAAAUAUUUCGACUAUUUAAUUUUGAUCAACUUAGAAGAACCUUUUAAACAAUUCCAAAAUUUUAAUAUGAAAAUUCUCUUAGAUAUUUCGAGUGCUCGAAAAAAUUGGAAGAAGAAACUGACACGACAAUGAUAUCUCUUGCUAGCUUAACAAUAAUAUAAAAAGUGUUUGUUAAUAUUUGUAGUUGAAUUAGUUAUAUUAGAAUAGAUUUAUCUGAAUUAGAUUCUUUUUGAAGUAUAAAUCUAACCAAGAAGGCAAAUGAAAUAAUUGGACAAACUCACCUUAUGAUACAUUUUAUAGAGUAUUUAACGAAAGUGAAAAGACUAAUCAGAAUAAAUAUCAUUAAGAAGAUUAAACUAUGUACAACUAAUAAUAACAAAGAAAUUUUAUAUUCUAAAAUAUGAGUGAAGAAUGUAAAAAGAAGAUACAAUUACACACAAGAAUUAUAGGAAUAGUAAAUAAAAAAUUUUCUUGGCAAAGUUAAAUUUAUAGAAUAAAAUUACAGAAAUAUGAAAAGACACGUGAAAAAUUGAAAGGUCAAAUAUUAUUAAAAUAAAUAUAAAAAAGAUAGAGAUGAAAUUUAACUUUAAAAGAUACAUGAAUCUACUUUAAUUUCUUGUCUUUAAAGAAUAAUUACUUAUUUGUAUUUUUUAAAAUUUGUGUGAGAAAUUUGAAAGGUUCAAGAUUUUGAAAUGAGAAUAAGAAGAUUAUAUGAAAAUUAUAAAAGUUUUAAUUUAGUAGAGGGGCAAAAUAGUAAUUCAAUUUUUUACUUUGCAGCUUUCCAUUUAUAAUAUGAUACUAGUAUUAUUAUAAGUGGGAAGAACUCAAGUCAAAAGUUGAAUUACGAUUUUACCCUCCUAUAAAUUAAAAUGUUAUAAUUAGUUUAAUUAAAUAAUAAUAACUUUUGAAUUUUCUUAGAUUAAUUCCUAUUAUUAUUAUUGUUGUUGUUGUUGUUGUUGUUGUUAUUAUUAUUAUUAAAAGUGAAAAAAGCUUUUAGCUUCAAAAUUGAUUACCAUUUUACCCCUACUGUAAGUAAAAAUGUUAUAAAAUAUUUAAUUAGUCAAAUAUUAGAAUUCUCAAUAAGUUUUUUCUAAUAUAUAUUUGUAUUUCAAAUUUUUAUGCAACCUAUAAUUACAAUAUUUAAUAUGUAUUAACCUCUCACAAUUGAAUUAUUAUUAUUAUUAUUAUUAAUUAUGAUAAAAAAUCUUAUUCUGCAUACCUUAACUAUAAGUUAAAUAAAAUUCAUUUAAUUAAUUUUUCAGUUACAUAAAUUGAACGGGAUUUGAAAGUGGAAAAGUGAUUGUUUAAUGUCCAGAGUCAUACAUGAUUAAUUGCUUUAAAUUAACACAUCAUGUAUUACUUUACCAAACUCUUUCAAUUCCUAUAAUUUGUCUUCUGAUUUUCUUAAUUUGUCUCAUCAAAUUCUAACACUUUUAAUUUAGUAACCAAUCUUUAUUAAUAAACAUCAGUAGAACUUGAAUAGUUCAUUAAGUAUUUAAGUGUAAGUUAAUUAGUAUUAUGUCAAAAGAAAUUUGAAAGAACAUAAAAAAACACUAUAUAAAGGAAACAAAUGAUUUUCAUUUCCUUCAAGUUUUAUUUCUUUAGUUAAACAUCUAACACCCCUUCUAAAUUUCUUUCUUUUCCCUUAAAUUUUUUCGUUUGCAUGAACUAAAGAAAAUGGGAAUGAAGAAACAUGUAGAGUUGAUAAAUGUUGGAAUUAAAUGAUUGUCAUAUCAAUUUACAUGCAACACUCAACAUUCAUUGAAUGAUAUAUGAAGAUUACUUAGUCCUUAAGGAGUGCUAGCAGAAAUUCAUGAGCUAUGAAAAGGAGGAAAUUGAUUUCUUUGGAAUACUGAUUUUAAAAUUUUCAUUAAUUGAUUUUAUUCUUAUAAUGUACUGUAAUUAUAAUUGCUUGAGACUAUAGAUAAAAUGCUAUGUUAUUUGUGUAUUUGGAAGGAGUUAUAAAAAUGAUAUCUUGUAGUAUGCCUUCAUGGCAUCAUGUGAUUGGUAUUGAAAAAUUAUAUUGUAACUUUUUUUGUAUUUUGUAAUGUUUCUUUAUAUGUAUCUUCAUAUUGGAACUUACUAAUUUAUUUUACAAAAGAAUUAGGAGCAUAUGCAUCAUAAAUAAAUAUAGUAUCAAACUUUUUAAAGGAAAAUUUUCUUUCAUUUUGAUAAAAACUAUUUUAGCUACUACAAGAUAUAGGGAUCUUCACUUAAAUAGUCGGAUAUAUUUACUAUUACUUUUUCUAGCCUAUAUAUAUAUACUAGUUUUCGAGCACGCGCUUUGCGUGUGUAACCCAUGAGUGUAUUAUUUCUUAAAAGAUAAUAUUACUAAAUAAUAAAAUGUCUAAUUGAGAUUUUUUACUUUGUUUUACUACUAAUUGUGACACUCCAAUUUUCUGACCUCCAAGUGAAUGCAUCAAGAUAAUAAUACGAGAAAUUAAUAAAAUAAACUUUGUUUGUAAUUAAAAAAAUAAGUUUGCAAAGCUAAAAGGAAAAAUAACAACUAUCUAAAUUAAAUUUCUUGAUAGUUCCGUUUUAUUGGUAGAAUAAUGCUAGAUAGUGUAAGAUUAACUUUGAGUGAAGAAAAACAAAACCUUUCAACUUUAUUAAUGAAUGUGUUUUAUGUAUUGUAUUAAAUUUUUAUCCACAAACACUUUAAACUAAUUAGUUAACUAUAAAUAUUUAAAAUUAAGAUGUAAAAAGUUUUAUCAUUUAUAUUUAAAAAAUCAGGAUAUUUAUGAAUAACUACUAUUUUUAUAUAAAAUUUAAUUCUGUCAUACAUAACUUAAUCCACCAUUAAUCUAAUAUUAUAUGUUUCAGCUUUUUUUUUUCAUAAAAAGAAUUGAAAAGAGUAAACAUCCUAUUUUAUCACAUUUAUUCUUAAAGAUGAAAAUUAAUGUAUAUAUAAAAAAUUAUAAGUACGGAGAAAAGAAAAAAAAAAGGUAUAAAUGAGCAAAAUAAUUAGGCAUUUCAUUUUGUUUGUCUCUAUAGUGAAACUGAACAUUUGAGCAUACAAAAUACAAAUAUGAAUUUAGAGCAACUUGCUAGUAAAACAAGAAUUCAACAAUAUGAAGAGAGACAAAAAAGUCUUAUAAUAAUUCUUACUACAAAUAAGUAUAAAACUAACACAUCAAGCUCCGAUUCUUCAGUAAUUGAAUUCUUAUCUAUUCUCGUAACUGCAUAAGAGAAUCUCACAACUUUCACAUCAAAUUGUGUCAUUAUUUCACAUGUUUAGAGUUCCUACAUACAAGAAUUGUAGGAGUGGUAAAUAAAAGUUCUUCUUGAAAAAGUUAAAUUUAUAGAACAAAAUUAUGGAAACAUGAAAAGUCACAUGAAUUCUUGUUAAAAUAAAUAUAAAAAAGAUAGAGAUGAAAUUUAAUUUUAAAGAUACAUGAAUCUACUUUAAUUUCUUGAUAAUUACUCAUUUUUGUUUUAUUUUGCAUUUAUGUUAGAAAUUUGUAAGGUCAAGAUUAUGAAAUGAGAAUAAGAAGAUUAUAUAUAUAUAUAUAUAUUAGUUUUAAUUUAUUAGAGGGGCAAAAUGGUAAUUCAACUUUUAAGUUUUGAGCUUCAUGCUUAUAAUAAUAUAAGAUGAUUAGUUCGAGUUCAAAUUUAUUCAAGAAAAAAAUAUUUCUUACUUAAUGUUUUUUUUUUAUAAAUAUCAAAACUCAAAUAUAUUUGGCUUUUCGAUUAAGAGUGAAAGAAUCUAACUGUUCGAAUAAUCUCACUCGAUGAAAGUUCUACUAACACAAAUUCAAGAGAGUUGGGAACCAAAAUAAGCAACAAAAAUAUAAAAGUAACUAAAAUAAGCCACUAUUUUAGUAAGUAACUAAAAUAAGCUUAGUGGAAGAAAAAGUUCCACUAUAUCCAAUUUUCUAAACGUUUUCCAUUACUGUCAUAAUGUUUAUUUUUAAUAUAUAACGGAACUUUUUCUUCCACUUUAUAAAGUGGAACUUUUUAUUCCACUUUAUAAAGUGGAAGAAAAUCUUCCAAUUUAUGAAAAGUUACCUUUUCAUUUUCACCUUCACCUUCUCUCAUUUUUCUUUUCAUGGCUUCCAAAAAAAAAAUCACUUUGAAGAUGGUCAUCUACAUCAAAAAUUCACUUUAAAAAAAUAAGUGUUAGACAUAGCGAUAAUCAUCUGCGUCAAAAGUAGGCGAGACAUGAAAAUUUGAGGAUGUCCCAACAUUUUCCGUCAUUUCAAAGUGUGAGGACUAACCAAAAUAAUUAUUUAGUCCAUAACUUGGAGCAAUAUCCCUAUCUUGCUGAGGUAAACCGCUACAAAAUAUAUAAUAAUAAGAAUAAUAAAUAAUAUAAAUAAAUAAAUAAUUGACAAAAUCAACAAACAAUAAUUGAAAUAUAAUAAUUGAGCAUUACCGAUCACUAUCAUUGAUAGUUUUGUUUAAAUCAAAAUCAUAUCUGCCGGUAAGAGUAUUUUGAUAAUGAGUCAUUUUAGGAAAAUCAGUAGAUUGAAUUAUCAGAAAUUCAUCAAUGCUAUUAUGAUUUUCUAAUUAGGGAUGAACAUCGACUGAUAAAGGAGAACGUUGUUGACUAAUCUUAGGCUCCUUCCUAACAUAGAUUCCAAGUAUUGUUGACUUGAUUUGAUCUAUAUAGUAAUUUGGAACCCUUAAAAAGUCGGUCAACGAUUCGUCAUUAUAUAUAAUUCACUCUCCAAAAUUUACUUGUCCAUGUGAUAAAAAUGAAGUAGGGUAUUUUCCAGCUAUAAUCAAAUUAUAAUCGUAUUGUUUAUACCCAUUCAUUUAUAAAAUGAUGAAAUAAAUUUAUGAUAUCGGACAUUUAUUGGAUAUUUAGCAUUGUGUUUGUGAGGACAAUUAUAAUAAAUGGUAUUUCCGUCAUGUAUAAUUUCGCCAUCCUAAUAAAUUGAAACUUUAACUAUAGGUGUAGAAGAUAUUUUUUUUUAGAUUGAAAUGAACAAAUAUAGAAGACUUUAUGUUGUAGGUGCUAUCGACUAUGUAUAAACGUCCUUAAAUAGAUUUUUCAAAAUAAAAUAAUAAAAAUACAUAAUGAAAUAUUUUUUUCUGUUUUAAUGACAUAUCAAAUCAAUAUAAUUUAUAUGACAACACUGAAAAAACUUAUUCAAGACGUGAAAAAUAUUUUUCUUGUAAAAUGUAAUAAAAAGUUCCACUUUAUAAAGUGGAAUAAAAAGUUUCACUUUAUAAAGUGAAAGAAAAAACUCCACUUUAUAAAGUGUAAGAAAAAAUUUCGUUAUAUAUUAAAAAUAAACGUUAUGAAAUUAACAGAAAACGUUUAAAUUAUUGGAUACAGUGAAACUUUUUCUUCCACUGAGCUUAUUUUAGUUAUUACUAAAAUAGUGAAUUAUUUUAAUUACUUUUAUAUUUUUGUGAAUUAUUUUGGUUUCUAACUCAAUUCAAGAUGGUCCUAGCUCUUACCUACUUUGGACAAAGUAGUUGAAAGUCACAUCAAUUCUCCCUCUUUUGUAAAAAUUAUCAUAUUAUUGCCAGUAUAUUAUAUUAUUAUUGCUUCCACUCCAUAAGUGAAAAAUCAAAGACGGAAUGGGAAGAUGCAUGAGUAUUUUUUAGAUUAUAAUGAAAUUUCAGAGACACAUUUUAAAUAAAUUAAGGUUUUAUUAUUUUUUUUGAACUAAUUUUUUUUUUUUUUGUAAUUUUGUUCACCUUUUGACUUACGUGAAAUCCAAAUAUCUUCCACGUACCUCAAUUGCUUGAAGUCACGUAAUACAAAAGUCGUACAAAAUUACAAAAAAAAGUUAAAAAAAAUAAUAUGACAUUUGUUUAGUUAAGAUGUGUCUGAAAUUUUGAUAGAAGUCUAGAGGGUAAUUAUGCAUUUUUCCAUAAUAAUAGAAAGAUAUUUGUGAUUAGUGAGUACAUGGUGAAAGGUUACUAGUCACCGAGCAUCCAAAUACAUUGGCAUUCCUUAAAUUUAUCAGUAACUUUAAUUUAGACAUUCUAAUUAUGAAUGUUAUAAAUAAAUCUUGUCACCUGACAUUUUCGAGUUUCAACUCAAAAUUUUGAGAAAACUUUUACCGUUAUUUUUAAGUGUAUAUAAUAAGUUAAAGUUAAAUCACCUAAAAUACGUCAGCAUAUACGAAUGACACAUAUUAUAUAAACAAAGUAUUAUAGUAAGUGAAAGUGUAUCAAAACAUUUUAACACAUAGUUUGCGAACUUCUAAAAUGGCUACUCCUCAACAACCUUUGUUAACAAAAACACACAAACAAAAUUCCAUAAUCAGCUUCAAGAUCCUCACUUUUGUUGUAACUUUGUUUGUUGCUCUCUUCUUAGUUGUGUUUCUUGUUGCUCCAUAUCAAUUUGAGAUUAAACAUUCUAAUCUGUGUAAAACUGCACAAGAUUCCCAACUCUGUCUCAGUUAUGUUUCUGAUUUAAUAUCCAAUGAAAUUGUCACAUCUGAUUCAGAUGGACUAAGUAUUCUGAAGAAAUUUUUAGUUUACUCUGUUCAUCAAAUGAACAAUGCAAUUCCAGUGGUUCGCAAAAUCAAGAAUCAGAUCAAUGACAUUCGUGAACAAGGGGCUUUAACUGAUUGUCUUGAGCUUCUUGAUCUGUCAGUUGAUUUAGUAUGUGAUUCAAUUGCAGCAAUUGAUAAGAGAAGUCGUUCGGAGCAUGCCAAUGCGCAAAGUUGGCUAAGUGGUGUGCUUACUAACCACGUUACGUGCUUGGAUGAGCUUGAUUCCUUUACUAAAGCUAUGAUAAAUGGAACGAAUCUUGAUGAGUUGAUCUCGAGAGCUAAGGUAGCAUUGGCGAUGCUUGCGUCUGUGACAACUCCAAAUGAUGAAGUUUUGAGGCCGGGUUUAGGAAAAAUGCCAUCUUGGGUGAGUUCGAGGGAUAGGAAGCUGAUGGAGAGUUCGGGUAAGGACAUUGGAGCGAAUGCAGUGGUGGCAAAAGAUGGAACAGGGAAAUAUCGAACACUUGCUGAAGCUGUUGCUGCAGCACCAGAUAAGAGUAAGACGCGUUAUGUAAUUUAUGUAAAGAGGGGAACUUAUAAAGAGAAUGUUGAGGUGAGUAGCAGGAAAAUGAAUUUGAUGAUUAUUGGUGAUGGCAUGUAUGCUACCAUCAUUACUGGGAGCCUUAAUGUUGUCGAUGGAUCAACAACCUUCCACUCUGCCACUCUUGGUAGGCUUUAAAUAACUUAUGUAUAUAUAGUAGAUGUUGAAUUCUUUGGCCUCUUCGUAUAUAUACUUUUGAUAUUUCAAACCCCCUUACUGAAAAUCCUUGCUCCGCCAUCAUGACCUAGGAUUAAGGAUUGUGUUAUUUGUAGUUCAUAUUUGAUUAAUGAACAAGUGUACGUAUAUACUCGUGAAUUUUCAUCAUAUUGCAGCUGCAGUUGGCAAAGGAUUUAUACUACAGGACAUAUGUAUACAGAACACAGCAGGACCAGCUAAACACCAAGCUGUUGCACUUCGAGUUGGAGCUGAUAAGUCUGUCAUAAAUCGUUGUCGUAUCGAUGCUUAUCAAGACACCCUUUAUGCACAUUCUCAAAGGCAAUUCUAUCGAGACUCCUACGUGACAGGUACUUGUGAAGUAGAUUACCUCAAAUGUGCUAUACUCUCUAUUGAACUCGGUAUUAAAAAGUUCAAAUCUUGAAUCCAUCUCUGCAGGGACUAUUGAUUUCAUAUUCGGUAAUGCAGCAGUUGUAUUCCAGAAAUGCCAGCUCGUAGCUAGAAAACCGGGUAAAUACCAGCAAAACAUGGUGACUGCACAAGGCAGGACGGACCCAAAUCAGGCCACGGGGACAUCAAUUCAGUUUUGUGAUAUAAUAGCAAGUCCUGACCUAAAACCAGUCGUGAAAGAAUUCCCAACAUAUCUUGGUAGGCCAUGGAAAAAAUAUUCAAGAACUGUAGUGAUGGAAUCAUACUUGGGUGGUCUCAUUGAUCCAUCGGGUUGGGCUGAGUGGCACGGAGAUUUUGCGUUAAAGACAUUGUAUUAUGGUGAAUUUAUGAAUAAUGGACCUGGUGCUGGUACUAGUAAGCGUGUCAAGUGGCCUGGCUAUCAUGUCAUUACUGACCCCGCUGAAGCUAUGUCAUUCACUGUGGCUAAGCUGAUUCAGGGCGGAUCAUGGUUGAGGUCUACUGACGUGGCGUAUGUGGAUGGAUUAUAUGAUUAGAGUGAUAUAAAAUUACUCUUUGUUUAUGUAACAAGACAUCUUUAAAAAGUUCAAAGUAAGUAGUAGUAAUAUAUCCAUAUGAAGUGCCACAUG
This 63887-nucleotide long non-coding RNA is filed under the name Solanum lycopersicum (tomato). RNAcentral's name for it is "long non-coding RNA (SLYC_LNC000476)". Lineage: Eukaryota; Viridiplantae; Streptophyta; Magnoliopsida; Solanales; Solanaceae. The record is from RNAcentral.